Molecule: long non-coding RNA, 86208 nt
Filed under: Vitis vinifera (wine grape)
Lineage: Eukaryota; Viridiplantae; Streptophyta; Magnoliopsida; Vitales; Vitaceae
Description: long non-coding RNA (VVIN_LNC004374)
Source: RNAcentral
AAAAUUUCUAAAAAUUAUUAUUCCAAAUUAACUAAAAAUCAUCUCAGAGAAGAUAAGAACAUUGGAAAAUGCUCAUUGAGUGUGGUUUUUCAAAAGGUGGACAAAUCUGCAUAAUUAAGACUUGUGUGAGCCAAAAUGAAACUGGGUCAGCAGUUGGCUGUAUUGAAUUGGAAUUGCUUUUGUAUAUUUGAGAUAUAUGGAAUUCAAAUUCCUUUCUGAAUCCUUUGGUUUUUGAAGACCUUCAAUUCUGUUCUUAGGCCUCAAAUCAUUCAAAGAAAUAGGGGUUUGUUGCAGUCAAGGUAUACGGUGUGAACAGUGACUUGCUACACUUGUGUGAGUACUCGCUAGAGCAAUGUUGUAUAUUUAUGCUACAAUAAUACCAAUGCUGUCUGCAUUAAACAUAAAAAAAGUGUAAAUAAAUCAAAUUCAACUAAGGAACCGAAAUAAACUCCUGAGCACAUUUAUGUGGCUAGGAAAUCAGGGCUAGCAGGUCUGACCUGAGAUGAAUAUGGAACUGAAGUGUUAAAAUAUAUGUCCAGUUACUCCAGUUAUCUGAAGCUGGUGGAGAGGAGUGGGGGCUGCCCCUAAAUGUUACCCAUGCAAACUCAGAGGGCUUGUUUGUGCUUGAGAACUAAUGCACGUCUCUGAAAAUUCAACUAAAUUUCCUUUGCUUUUCCCGAUACCAAGUGGUUUUAGGUAAGACGAUGGGGGUUUGGGGGGCAUUAGACCCAUGGUUACCCAUAGGAAAGACAAUAAUGCAAAAUCUGGAAGUAUCCUUACUAAUAGGCAGUGAAGCCCAAAGUUCAAAUCCUUGUGUAUCAAGUCUAGUUUUUGAGUUGGAGUUCAUAAACUCUUGCAGUAAUUUCCAAUCUUAAUUGAAAUUGUAGUGUCAAAAGUUUAAUCAAUAAUUGUAGUUUAAACUAGUGAGAUGUUGGCAUGGAUGAUUUGCUUAUGAAGAUCAAUGUGUUGCUUUAUGUAAAAAGAAAGGCUAGCGGUGGCAUUCUAUAAUAAGCAUAAUGGUUACUGUCAUGCUCUGAUUUCUGACUUCAAUCUGAUGCAUCAAACUGAUCACAUCUCAUUCAGCUUGAUUAAUUCAUGAUAUUUCAAUUUGCAGGAAAUGGUGAAAGAAAAAAAGCUAAUAUUCACAUUUGAUGCAACUAAAAAGGCUCGUUUUGGUGUACUUCCUCGAUAUGCAAAGAAUGAGCUCCACAUUAAAUGGUUUGAGCUUCCAAAUUGCUUCAUAUUCCAUAAUGGUGUGCCCACUUUGCUUUCAUCUCCAUUUCAAUUCUGCAAACGACAAUCUCCUCUAAAUCUAUAAAAAAAAAACAACAAUCUCCUCUAAAGUUAUCCAGUUUCCUAGGUUCAAGUUCACCCAUAGCCUAAUAAUCAUAAUAUCUGCACAUUGAUAAAGUUUAGAUGGCAAAUCUGGUGCUGUCAACAUACUUAGCCAGUACAUGAGAAGGUUUUUUGGGGUUCUAAUGUUAAUUCCUUGUCAUUGCUCAUUGCCUAGAAUCUUAAUCAUUAACAGAACCAAUUGCAAUAAACAGGGCCAGACUAUAUCUAGGAGAACAAGAAAAAUCCCUGGGUGGAUAUGAAAUUUCUGAUAUUAGAUUGUGUAGGUUUGGACAAUAUACUAGUAGAUUUUAUACAAGAUCUCAUGACUGACAUGCCACAGAAAGCACUUUCUCAUACUACAAGAGGAUCUAGGAAAUAUUUUCUAUUAGAUACAAAGCUCAACCUUGGUUUUAGCAGUCUACAGUUGAAUAUGGCAUUGUAUCAAAGUUAUCUGAAAACAUUGUUUAUUUUCCAAAAGCUAUUCAGAUUUUUACAAUAUUUAGUAAAAAUUUGGCUGUGUGCUUCGGGAUGGGGAGCCGCAUAGCCCACUUAGAACUUUUGCAGUGUUCAUUCUGACCUUUUCCAUGGCUUCCUUGCACUAGCCAAUGCUUGGGAGGAGGAGGACGAAGUUGUUUUAAUCACCUGCCGCCUUGAAAAUCCAGAUUUAGACCUGGUUGGCAGGAAUGUUAAAGAAAAGCUUGAAAAUUUUGCAAAUGAGCUGUAAGAGUAUUGCUUUUACCAAUUUGAUGAGUAUAUUGCUGGUCUUUGUUUCUCCAAAGUGUUCCUGAUUGUUGAUAUUUCUUAUCAGGUAUGAGAUGAGAUUCAACAUGAAAACGGGUAUUGCGUCACAGAGAAAACUAUCAGCAUCUUCUGUGGAUUUUCCAAGGGUGAAUGAGAGCUACACUGGCAGGUAUGCAUGAACUCUGUUUGUCAGUAUUUUGGCAGAAUUCUGGGUUGCUGUAUGUGUAAAGAGAUACUUAAAUUCUGCUAAGAAGCCGAUAUUUAGGAGCGAAUGAGAAAUAGCCAAACAUAAUAUUAGCAUAUUUUUCAUAACCCUCUUUUAAAAUGUUUUCUCUUUUACCUUUUUUUUUUCUUUUUUCUUUUUUCAUAUGAUAUUUUGAAUGAUGGUGUAAAGUUUUCAAACUAUUGAAGGCCUGUCUGGGAUGACUUUAACCUCUGUUUUUAAUCGUAGUCAUAAAAGUAUAAAUAAUUACUUUUUUUUGUCUGGUUGAUUUUUGUUAUAUUUGAAAAGAAAAUAUUAAGGAAAAUGAUUUCUUAUAUUUGAUUUAUCAUGAAAAAAUACGAGAGAGGAUCAAAUAUACUCGUAAUCGUAUAGAAACUUAUGCAUAUUCAAAGUACCUAUUAUUAAUAUAGACAAGAAAAACAAGUGAAUGAGUUUAAGAAGCUACCCAAACAGGACUUUAAUCGCUGUACUGUAGUUUGUUCCAUUCAAUUUUCAUCUUUUUCUCUGGGUCAGCUUACAUGAGCAUUUUAUGUAUUAAUUAUCCUCCAUGCAAAUAUAGGAAACAACGAUAUGUAUAUGGAACCAUACUGGACAGCAUAGCCAUACUGGACAGCAUAGCCAAGGUGGCGGGCAUUAUCAAGUUUGAUCUGCAUGCUGAACCCGACACCGGAAAAUCAAAGCUUGAAGUUGGAGGGAACGUUCAAGGCAUUUUUGACUUGGGGGUCGGUAGAUUUGGUUCAGAAGCUGUCUUUGUCCCUCGUGAGCCCGGUAUCACCUCUGAAGAAGAUGAUGGCUACUUGAUAUUCUUCGUCCAUGACGAGAAAACCGGGUAUUUGUCUCCCUUCUCACCCUCUUGUUCUAAUCGUUUAUGAAUAUGUUGAUAGUCAUUAGCCACUAAACCAUCUAUUUGUUUAUAUUCCAAAAUUUGAGACAAGGUGAACUUGUUUGAAAACGAUUUAUGAAAACAGUUUUCUGUUAUUUAGACUGAGUACAUUUUUCCAAUUUCAAAAUAUUUUUGACAAAUUUUAGUUCUGAAAAUAAGGUGAUUUUAUGGAACAUAUAUGUUUUCAGCUAAUUUUUAUAGAGUAUUCUGAGAAACAAUUGAAAAUACAACAAAAAAGACCGUAAAUUUUUAUAUUGUUUAGUAGUGUAUAAUGUCUUUCACGGAGAAUAGGCCAAAAAAACUGUUUUUCAUAUUUGAGCUCUUAAACAGAAUUUUGUUUCUAAAAACAAUGUUUUUGAAAACAGUCUUCGAACCUUCUUAUAUUUUUCAUUCUCAUAAUGCAGAAAAUCAUACGUGAAUGUAAUCAAUGCAAAAACGAUGUCGCCCGAUCCUGUUGCCAUUGUUGAACUACCCAAUAGAGUUCCAUACGGUUUUCAUGCCUUCUUUGUCACAGAGGUGAGUAUACUUACUCCUAGCUCCGUAAAGUUUAACCUUUCAAAAAAAUAAAAUGAUAGUUUAAUAUGGUAUCAAAGUUCUUAUUAAUUAAUUGUCUCAAGAUUUAGUGUUCUACUGUUUAUUUUCUGCUUCUGACUUGAACUCGGGUUUUCUGACUCAGGAGCAACUCAAAGAACAAGCAAAACUUUGAAGAAGAAAUCAUAGACUGCCAUGUAAGGAAUGCAUGUAGCAUACAAAUAAUGUAUCCAUGUAUUUAUCAUAUCAUCUAAUGAACCGAAUCAAUAUGUUGUUAUAGUAAUAAUUAUGGCUACUUAUGAAAGGAUAUUUUUUUUUUCUUUUUUUUGAAUAAUAGCAUUAUAUAGAGUCUAUAUCAUUCUCCAAAGGUAUGGUUUUCACUUCAUUGACUUUAGCAUUCUAAAAAUUGCAUUGCAUGUAAAUUUAAGAGUGGCGGAGUUUCUAUAUUUAGAGUCUGUUUCGAAGUGAUUCUAAUUGACGCACUUCUAAUUUUUAGUACUUGUUAGAAACGUCUUUUAGAAAAAUUAUAUAUGCUAAAAAAAACAAAGAUUUUUGAAGAAUUAUUUUUCAAGUAAUUGUUCAUGAAUGAUGUCAAGUGAUUAAUCAUGUACAUUUUUAAAAAUGAUUUUUAAAAGCUUCUCAAGCACUUAUACAUUCCAUAAGAAAAUGUUUCCAAAUAUUAGAAAGCAUUUUUAACCUCUUAAAAUCGCUCCCAAUCAGGCUUUGUUUAGUUUUGAAAGGUGGGUCUCGAGUUUCAAUUUUAUGGAAUGUCUCCUCUCUUUCAAAUGCAUGGGUAUUAGAGUUAUAAUUUAGAGUAUGUUUGUCAGUGAUUUUAGAAAGCAUUUAUAAUAUUUCUAAUACUUAAAAUUUUUCGAGUGUUUAAAAUAUUAGAAACGUUUCUUAAAAUCACUAUCAAAUACAUUUGAGUUCGUUUGAUAGUAAUCUUAGGAAACAUUUUUAACAUUUUUAACACUUGAAAAUUUUUAUCAUUUGAAUAUUAAAAAGAUUAAAAACAUUUUCUAAAAUCACUACAAAUGCACUCUUAGAACUUGUUUGGUAGUGAUUAUAGGAAGCGCUUUUAAUAUUUCUAAUAUUUGAAAAUUUUUAUCAUUCAAGUGUUAGAAAUAUUAAAAAUGCUUUCCAAAAUCACUCUUAGACGCACUCUUAGAGCAUACAUGUUGAUGAUUUUACAAAAUGUUUUUAGCUCUUUUAAUACUUAAACAAUAAAAAAUUUAAAAUGUUAAAAAUAUUAGAAGCAUUUCCUAGAAUUACCACCAAACGGAAUGCUAGUUAAGGUUAUAAUGAUAAUUCCAAUUGAACCUAUUCAUGAAUAUCUAACCUACAAGUUUAGGUUGAGAGUUUACAACUUACAUUAAGUUCAUGGCCAAUUAGGGUUUAGACGGUUCUUAAAGUGUAUUAAACAAAAAGCUAAAAAAUGAAGUCUUAUGAUAAAAAGAACAAUUAUUUCAAAGUUAUAAAAUAUAAACAAUGUAUCAAAGAGUUAAAAUAUAUAAUUAGUUAUCAAGUUGAUAUAAAACGGUAAUUUUUAAAGCUACGUUUCAACUUUUUAAAGAUAUUUUAAUAAUAAAACAAAAUUAAUAAAUAAGUGUCUAAAAUUCCUAAUUAGAAUAGAUUAUUUUUAUAUAAAAAUAUUAUAUAGCAUAUCUCUUUAUGUGUUAUCAUAAUAUUAGAUUUUCUUAUAGAAAAACAAAAAUUAUUAGAAAUAUCUUUAUAAAUAUUUUAAAACAUGAGGGGAAAAAGUUAUCAGAUGAAAAUGUAUUUAUAAAAAUUAUACAAGAUGGAUAUAGGUAUGAACUAGGGAAAAGGUUAGUGAAAGUUGUGUUUUGGGCUUCCCAUCCCAACAUAAUAACAUUUUCAAAACCCAACAAUGGGAAAUAUGAGAAUCAACUUUUAAUAUGAAAAGUUUUAUCAUUUUUGUACACUCUGAGUCGACUCCAUCUUCUAUGCCCAAAUUGCCCCUUCGUUUCUCUAGCUCAGCAUCAUCCCAACCUCUAUAUCGCCCGCUCUCAUUUGGAAGCUUUCUCUCAUCUUCUUUCACUCCUGAAAACCCAAAAUCUCUCAUUUCACUUCAGAAACCCAAAUCCAAAACUCCAAGACGAUGUCAAAAUACAUCUUUCAACUCAUCUAGGAGCCAUGGGAAUCUAAGAGAAUCCGAGAAAAACGAAAUGGAGCUCGGGUGGAGAGAGUGGGUACCCGAAAACUGAAACCCUAAUCUUCAAAUGUGUCAUAGACUCACAAAUUUGUGUCUAAGAUACCUCUAUCAGCAAGAAAUAGCACCAAACAUCUCUCCUAGACCAUUAAAUCGACGAAGCCCUUGAAGAAUCAAAGGAAAUGGUGCAGAAAAUAAAGUGCGGGAGACUCUUAAAGUAUUGGGUCUCGACGAAUUGAUUGACCAAUCUUCGAUCGAUGACUGUACUUUAGGUACUACCUUAAUAGCCCUUAGGUACGACCUUAAUUACCUUAAGUACUAUCUUAACUGACCUUAGGUACUACCUUAGUUAAACUUAGAUAUUACCUGUGUGAAGCCUUAAAACUUCAUUUGUGGAUAUUACUUACUUCAUUUGUGACCUUUAGAGCAUGUCAUUUUGUGAUUAAUUAGUGUGAUCAGCUUGGUUCAACUUUGGUAUUUUGGUGACUGUACCUCAGGUAUUACCUAAGUAAAACUUGAGUAAUACCUAUCUGAAGUCUUGAAACUUCAUCUGUGGAUAUUACUUACUUCAUUUGUGACCCUUAGAGCACGUCAUUAUGUGAUUAAUUAGUGUGGUCGAUUGGUUCACCUUUGAUAUUUUGGUGAUUGUACCUUAGGUACUACCUUAAUAGCCUUACCUUAAUCUACCUUAGGUACUACCUUAACCACCUUAGAUACUACUUAAGUAAAACUUGGGUACUACCUAUCUGAAGUCUUUGAACUUCAUUUGUGGAUAUUACUUACUUCAUUUGUGACCCUUAAAGCACGUCAUUAUGUGAUUAAUUAGUGUGGUCAAUUGGCUCACCUUUGAUAUUUUGGUGACUAUACCUUAGGUACUACUUUAAUCUCCUUAGGUACUACCUUAACCAAUAUUAGGUACUACCUUAGUUAAGCUCAUUCAAUUGUCUAGGAGCCGGUUGGUGUCCUUUUCAAUUUUAGACAUAAAACCGAUCGACCAGUUACCCCUUCCGGGUCGAGAAUGAAGUAAGUAAUAUCCACAAAUGAGGUUACGAGGCUUCAGAUAUGUAGUACCCAAGUUUUACUUAAUUAGUACCUAGGUCGAUUAAGGUAGUACUUAAGGUAUAUUAAGGUAGUACCUUAAGGCUAUUAAAGUGGUACCUAAGGUAUAGUUACCAAAAUACAAAGGGUGAACCAAUUGACUACACUAAUUAAUCACAUAAUGACGUGCUCUAAAGGUCACAAAUGAAGUAAGUAAUAUCCACAAAUGAAGUUCUGAGACUUCAGAUAGGUAGUACUCAAGUUUUACUUAGGUAGUACCUAAGGUCGAUUAAGGUAGUAUUUUAAGGCUAUUAAGGUAGUACUUAAAGUACAUUUACCAAAAUAUCAAAGUUAAACCAACUGAUCACACUAAUUAAUCACAAAAUAACAUGUUCUAAAGGUCACAAAUAAAGUAAGUAAUAUCCACAAAUGAAGUUUUGAGGCUUUACACAGGUAAUACCUAAGUUUAACUAAGGUAUUACCUAAGGUCAGUUAAGGUGGUACUUAAGGUAGAUUAAGGUCGUACCUAAGGGCUAUUAAGAUAGUACCUCAGGUAUAGUCACCGGUCGAGGUCCAAUCGAGGAUCGGUCGACCGGUUUGUCGGGACACAAUACUUUAAGAGUCUUCCGUGCUUCAUUUUAUGCAUCAUUUCCUCUAGUUCUUCAAGGGCUUCACCGAUUUAAUGGUCUAUGAGAGAUGUUUGGUGUUAUUUAUUGUUGAUAAAGCUAUCUUGGACACGGAUUUGCGAGUCAAGGACACAUUUGGAGGUUAGGGUAUCAAUUUUUGGGUAUCCGGCCAUUCUCUCCACCCGAGCUCCAUUUCAUUUUUCCCAGAUUUUCUUGGACUCCCAUGACUCCUAGACGAGCCUAAAGGAGCAUUUUGACACCGUCUUGGAGUUUUGGAUUUGGAUUUCUAAACUGAAAUUAGAGAUUUUAGGUUUUCAGGAAUGAAAAAAGAUGAGAGAAAGCUUCCAAAUGAGAGAGGGUGAUAUGGAGGUUAAAAUGAUGUUGAGGAUGCUAAGUUGGAGAAACGAAGGGGCAAUUUAGGCACAACAAAUGGAGCCGACUCAGAAUACACAAAAAUGAUAAAACUUUUGAUGUUAAAAGUUAAUUCUCAUAUUUCCCAUUGUUGGGUUUCAAAAAUGCUAUUACGUUGGGAUGGGAAGCCCAGAGCACAACUUUCCCAAAAGGUUUUCAAAUGAAAAUGUAUUUAUAAAGAUUAUUUUUUUUAAAAAAAACACUAUCCUACAAAAUAAAAUACUAGCAUCUUUUGAAAUUAGGAUUUAAAUUGGAUUAAGAAUAUAUUUCAUCAAAUUUUCUAUCCAAAGUGCUUUUAAUGAAAGCAUUUAAAAAAAAAAAUUGAAAAAAAUUACCCAUCAAAUAUUUUUCUUAUAAGCACUUGGCAUGAUUUUUUAACUUUUCAAAAUUUCUUUAUAAAUUUUGUCUAGUUUCCCUUUAAAAGUCAAGUUUCUUAUAAACAAUUAGAGAUCAUUUAAAAGUCAAAUGAUAAUUUUUAUCCAUAAAUCAAAUUCACAUAAUCUAAGUAAAUUAAGCGUCUUGGACCUUGGUACCCAAAUAUUCUUAAAAUGCCCUUUAAUCUUAUUUUCAAAUAUUUGCUUGUAUUCUUCAAAAUUUGAAAAAUCCUCUUUAUAAAUUUUUAUCCAUAAAUAAUAUCUCCACACCACAGUAAAAUUGCAUGAAUUCAAAUCAUUUUUCUUAAAAAAAUUUAAAAAUAAAAAAUAAAAAGUUCAAAAAUUGAUCAGCAUCCCUCAAAAUGCCUAGUAUCAACCUGGCAUGAAACUAUGGUUUCCUCAACCACUGCAAUAAAGCUUGCAAAAGGGAGCACCAAAUUUUCACAAAUUCCAUGCAUACAUUCAGAUUACUAAAUAUUUCAUCAUUGGGAUGGUCUUAAUAAACUUCGUGGCUCUUUCCAAGUUGCCUUUGCCUGGGUUUGUUGUCUUAUGGUUCACUCUGGUGGUAGGUAUAACACAUUUCACUAUUUUCUUAGAUGGUUCACACCCUAUUUCACUUAAACCCCCUUGUGGCUUGAGGUUGUGAUAUGGAGCCUGGUUCUUAUUCUAAAUGUUAUGAUCAUUGAAAACCCAAUGAAUGGUGAAAUGCAUCAAAUUAAAGCCAUGAAUUUCGAGCAUGAUUCAGUAUGUUUCUGGGUUACCAGACUUUGAUAGGUGGAAGGUAGUAAAUUUGAAAGGAAUGGAUGUGCCUUUCCACAAUGUCAGAAGUUUAAGUUGAAUGAAAUAUUUCAAAAGCACAGCAGGUAUUGCAUUUCCCAAUUUGUAUGUUUUCUAGUUGCAGAUCUUUUUCACUCAUGGAUCCAAUUUUGUCGAAUGUUCCAUAGAGACAUGUAUGAGCAUGAUAGUCUCCAUUUAGUUACACAGAAGAAAAUGUUCUUUUCAUUUUAACUUGGACAGCAUGGCUGGAAUUGCAUGCAAAUGGUGGUUUGUUUGCAACAUAUAAAGCUAUAAGAUUGUGAGUUGAAUUUGCUCAAUACACCGACUUGUGUGAAGCUGAUCUUUGGUUUACUUCCCAAGGGAUCCAUGGGUGUGAAGUUAGUUUCAUAGAUUCUAGUCUAUUCAGCUUGGAUGCAAACUGUGUUAUUUAUUCAGGCUGGUCCUUUAGAAUAUUGAUGACAGACUACAUAGCUUCAGAGUAAAGGAUUUGUCCGACAUUCUUAGCCAAAUAAAAGCAUGUUGAGCUUUCUAUGUAUGAUUGAAAUCCAAUGUGUGCUAUGAUUAAAUAAUGAUCAUUACUACUCCUUAGUUCUCAUUUCAUACCUUUUGUUUCAAUGGAUCUUUAUGUAAAAGAUCUAAAAGUGAUGAGUUGAUAGGAGGAGUGCUAAGUUUGAUCUAGCGGUUACUAAGUUUGAGUAUCUUAAAAUGGUAAAAUUGUUACUUUGGUAGGUCUCAAAGAAUCAGGGAAACAGCUCUGAAUUUUUAUCUGUUUUUUAUGGGAAUUGUUUUGCUCCUCUUUUAAUGUCUUUAUGGUUGAUAUGUAUGUGUUUUGGGAUUGUGGUUGAAUCUAAUUUAAAUCCAAACACAUGAUUUACAAUUAUCAUGUAGUUACUGAAACCACAUGCUUUCUUUUUUUAAUUAAUGAUUGAUUAUUGUUUGUUGUAUGUCACUGUAGCAUUAUAACUCUUGACUUGUGAAAGAAAAGCUCAUUUAUGUUGUGCAAAAGUUUCUUAGUACCCAGAUUCUUUUUUAAUUCUGUUUCUUUUAUUUCUCCACUGACAAAGCUAUCUGUAUGCAGACAAAUCCUAAGCACAAAUGCCAUGUAUUUCUCUCAAGAGGGACAAAAAUCUAUAGAUUGUUGAAGUUCCACAACUCGAUAAGUCAUAGUAUAGCACAGGAUAUUUCUUUAGCUCCAUAUUUAUCUACCAAAAGACUCAUCUUUGCCUACCAAAUAUGAGAAAUUUUGAUAUAUGAUAAGAAGUUGGUCGAAGUGAUAUCAGGUUUUUGCUAAUAAAAAAGAGCUUAAAUGCAAAGAGGUCCUGUGUUGCAUCUAGCUUGUGUUCUCAAAAUUCCUGUUACAUUUUCUCUGCUUUAGGUUUUAUAAAUUAUUAUGUUCUAUUCUGCCAUGCCCCCCACAUAUACCCCUAGUUGGAUGGUUUGAUAUGCAUAGCUUAUAUCUCUUCCCUCUCUCAUGCAAUGUAGAUAAUGUUGAUCUGGGAACAGCAUGUGGCAAGUAUUUCCAGGUCUCUUGCCUGAGCAUUGUUGAUCCAGGUAAGCCUUAUAUUUCACCAUGCUGGACUGAUUUGCUUUACCAAUUAAGCAUAUGGCAAGGGUAACCAAUUGCACUUUGUUUUUUUUUUUUUUUUUAAUAUUUGUAUGUUGCAGGUGAUUCUGAUAUCAUCAAGCAAAUGCCCAGUGACCACUGAGCUGACUGUUAGAUGGGUGCUGAGGUUUAACAUUUCUCACAAACUAUAGGACAAUUUUGUUUUUUGGUACUACCAUAGACAGGAGCCUCUGUAAUUGUUGAAAUUUUUCGUCCCAUCAAAAGGGCAAAUUUGAUUUUGGUUAAAUGACAGCAGACCUUCAAAUCGCAUACGGUUUUUAGAAUCAAAAGAAAGAUAGUGUGGGAUAUCUGUGAUUGAGCUGAUGCCCUUUUCAUCCCUUGAUAAUCUGAUUUUGGUUCCUUAGAAUUGUGGGUUUUCUUUUGAUGUUUUGCAAGCUGACUUACCCUUCCAGAGUUCUCGGUUUUAGAUUCUUGUUGAAUUGAAUGUGCUGUGCUUAGUGGAAUAAAGAUAGGUUUUUGAUGGAAAUCAUCACAAUUACCAAGAGACCAUCUCCCGUUUAAAUUGUUUGGAAGUGCCUUCAUACAAAAACUUGGUGUUUUGUAAAUUUUUUUAAGUUAUUUUUAAAUAAUCUAGAGAAUCAUUUAUAGUAAAAUUUUUUACAAUUAUUCGAUAGAUAAUGCUUUCAAAAAUUACAUUUUUGUUAUAUAGUAUUAGUUUAUGUUCAAACUCCUAAUGGUUUUCUUUAAAACAUGUUGACUCAAAGAAAUGUUAACAUACCAAGUUGUUAUCACAUGUAACUCCAAUGUGUCAUUCGGGGGGAAAUGGGUGAAAUUUACCCUCAAACAAACCAUAUACAAAAUCAGCCAUUCAGUGAAAGGAGAGGAGAGUAUCAAAAACGCUUUUCAUUUUCGGACAUUUGAUUGCCAUCUGAAUUUCACAGGGAUCUUUAGCAGAAGUGAUCAUCACCCUUGCACUUUCACAUCAAAAACUUCAUACAUCUUGUAGCCAUCAACAUUGAAAUGCACCACUCCAUAUGCUUAUAUUAAAUCAAUCAAUAUAAAAAAAUCAUGAAUACUAUAAAACAAGACAAAGAACACCUGCUUUGAGAAAUGAUUCUCCUUAUUCUUCAACAAAUGGAAUGCAAAGGUUCCCUUCAGAAGUAGAACCAUAGAACUCCCUAAAGAGACAAGAAGAACAAGAAGUAGCAUGGAAACUGAUGUGAAAAAACCUGAAAUUCUUUAAACCCUAAGGCUCUGUUUGGUUCCCGAAAAAUGCGAGAGAAAGAAAAUUGGGAGGAAAAAUAGAAGGAAAGAAAAAGGUAAGGAAAAAAAUAUAAUAUUUUUCACUUGUUUGAUUAUCCAUGGAAAAUUCAAGGGAAAAAAAAAAGUAAGGAAAAAUAGAAGAAAAAUAAAAUCAACAAUUUGUCUUAAAUGGUUAUCAAUUUGUUGAAUGAUAAAAGAAAUUAAUCCAAUAAAAAAACUGUUGAUAAAUGUGAAUUUUUCAACAUAAAACAUUGCUCAUAAAAAGUCUCUACUAUUAUUUUUUUUAUUAAUAAUUAUAAGAUUUAUGUAUAAAAUUUUCCUCAUGUAAUACAAAUAAAAUAUACAAGUAAUAACUAUUUUUUAUUUUCAAGGGAACAUUUAUAGCUAAUAAAAAGCUCUUAAAAAAUUCAAAAGGAUUUUCAGAAUCAAAAUUUAAAAUUCAAAAUUAAAAAGGAUUUUCUAAAUCUAAAUUUAAAAAUAAAAAACUACUAUAUAAAAUAUACUACUUUUUAUCACAGUUUCUUCAAUACCCAUUUCAAAAGGCAUCAUUCUCUCUUUUGAUGAUCUUUUAGAUGAUCCUUGGGGACAUACCGCACUUGAAAAGUGAGGCUAUUCUUAAGGUGUUUUUGAAUACCCAUUUGAAAAUUUUGGUGGGCUUUUGUUUCAGUUUUCAACUCAGGGAAGUUCAAAGUCAAGAGGAGAGAGCACUGACUCAAGAUCAGCAGUGAACACUCUUUCAAGUAGAGCUGAGGCCCAGUUGGAAUCGGAAUCUCCUAUCAGUAUAAAGCCAAUGUCUGAUCACCUGGCUUUUGAUCAGAAGCAUCUACAGUUUCAACAACAUCAACAGUAGUUAGAGGAUGGCAAGUAAUAAUUCUAUAUUAGCAAGACCAUAAGAAUCUCAACCAGCUGCUUCUAAACCACCCCCAGAAAAAGUUCUCAAUUCUCAAACUAAAACCAAAACAGGUAUCAAAACUAAGGUAAAAGUAGCUGCAGAUUUGAUUAUCCUUAAGUUGGUUUACACAACUUCUAACAGCAGCCAGCCAUUGAAAUUAGCCAACUAUACAGAGUGCCACUCCACAACCCCAUGAUGCUAUCUAUACAAAACAUAUCACCUUAAGCACCUAAGACAAUCAAACUAAACUCUGUGCUCUAUUCGGUAGCCGCAAAAACGUAGAUAAUCAGAGAAUUCAAUAAAAGAAGAAGUCCAGAAUUUGAAAUUCAAUUUGUAAAUUAUCGAAAACUCAAGAAACAACAAGCUGGUCUAAACCAAAAAAAAGCAUAAUUUCCUCCAUUUUUCAGCUAACCAAACAAAGGAAUAAUUGAAUAACAUGCUGAAAAGAUAGAUGAAUAAAAAAAGUCUUCAUAAGUCUAAAAAUAUAAUAGAUCAAUUUCUAAUAGUCAACUAUCAUCCAUGAGUUUUGAUAUCAAAACUUCACGUAUAGCCCUAAAACAAAACUAAAACUAAAAAUAAAAAUAAUCUCCAUCUCAAAUUAGGCAUACAAAAAAGUAGGUCCAAAUUUAACUGACAACCAAAGCUUACGCUAUCAAUUGGACAAGCAAGGAAGGCUCGAGCUGCACUCACAUCACCAAUAAGAGCUUGAUAUGCUUUCAUAUGAGAUACAUCACUCAUGCCUCCAAUCUUAGCAAUCUCUUCAAACAAUUGCUCUUUUGUAUAAUUUUGAAGGUUGUUUCUAUCAAGAGCCGCAACAACUGCAUCCAUUCCAACUCUAAUUGACCUCAAUUCUUCACUUACAAUGUCAGCAUAUUUUGCUUUUCGCUUUUUUGUUUCUUUGUUUGACUUUGGUGCAGAAACAGAUGCAUCUGCAGAUGAGAAAAAUGUCUCAGUUGUUGCUUCAUUUUCAACAAAAGCAAAUGUUUCAUCUCUGAUCCCAUGUUGUGAUGAUCCUAAUGGAAUUGUGCCAUCCAAAUCUUGUUCCUGGGCCCAAUGAAGUUAUCUUUCUUUUGCACCUACAGCAAGACUUCCUGUUGCUCGAUCUUCUCCAAAAAGAAUGGACGACUUAUCAUAAUUUCUAAUAGGUUUGUAUCUGAGCUGAGAUGCUCCUGGGUGUGCCUUUUAACAUCAGAAAAAAGAAAUAUUAACAAAACUCGAGUUCAAUUCUAAUAAUGUCUAUUAGAAAUUUAUAACUAUACAUUACAUGCAAAAUUUUUAUUUAUAAUAACUCAAAAAUAAUAAUUAAGUCACCUUAGUGUAAGUAGUCCAUACUUCUGUGGUAGCUUCGAUCAUUUGAGUUGAUUCAUUGAAACGAAAUCCACUACCAUUUUGUACAACUUCUUGAGCAGCAUAAAAGUUUUUUUUUUAAAUUUUUAUUUUAUUUUUUAUGUGCUCGGAGUUACAACUCAAUUCAAAAUUUUCCCCAAUUUCUCGCGCAACCAUUGCAUAAGUUGUCUUGGUGAAGACUCCUCCUAUCUUUUGCCCUUUAUGCAUUUGCUCCAUUAAUCGAUCAACCAAAAAGUUGUCCUUUUUAUCAAUCCAAGUCAAGUUUCUUUUUUCACUUACACUUUUGUGUACUUCAAAGCCUUCACUAUGUUCCAUCUAAAAUAAUAAUACAUAUAUACAUACAUAUAUGUAUAUAUACAUAUAUAUAUAUAUAUAUGUGUGUGUGUGUGUGUGUGUGUGUGUGUGUGUGUGUGUGUGUGUGUUUAAAAUGAAAAGUCAAGAGGAGGAGAUAUAAUAAUAACUUCAUUGUGACUCAUUCAAAGUGUGAUUUUAACUAGAAGAGUUAUAGUUCUAAAUACAAUCAUCGUACUUAAUAUGAAACACAAAAAACUAUACAAGAAAAAAACCCUAAAAUAAAAGGACUCAUCAACGGUUUCUAUUGUAAUAUUUCCACAUAUCCAUGGCUAUUUUCUCCCUUAAGAUUUCUCAUUUCUUGCAUUUUUCAGCUAAACUCAAGACCAUUGAUUCAAACUCUGCUUCUUCGCUUAAAAGCUCUCUAUCGACCUCUGCUAUUAACCUUUCAUCUGGAUCAACACCCAUGAGAUAGUUAUGGAGGAUACAACAUGCUAGUAUAAUAUCAAAUUGUGUGUCAACAGGGUAAUGUGGCUCCGUCCCACUAGCUAUUAUUGGAAACCUUUUCUUCAAAAUACCAAAUGCUCUUUCAAUUGCAUUUCUCAAGGACAAGCGUCAAAGGUUGAAAACCUCUCGAGCAUUUUUUGGUUGAUGAACACUAUACUCUUUUAAAUGGUAACGAGUGCUUCUAUAUGGGGUAAGAAAUCCAGUUUUUAGCUGAAAACCCGCAUCAACCAAAUAAUAUUUACCUAAGAAGCAUAGACAAAGGAUCUUUGUUAUUAGUAAUAGUCACUUGAGCUAAUAAAUUAUUAUAUAAUCACCAAUAAUCACCUUGUGGAACAAUUAAUUUAUCAAAAUCUCUCAUUAAUGCAUUAUCUAAGAUUCUUGAGUCUGAUGCAGAUCCUUCCCAACCAAGUAAAACAUAUGUGAACUUCAAGUCAAAGGAACAUGUUGCUAAAACAUUUUGUGUUGGAUGGUACUUUCGCCCUCGAUACCUUUGUACAACAUCAUUUGACACUUUUACACAAAAAUGUGACCCAUCAAUCACCCCUAUGCAAUCCUAUAAAGAAACAAAAUUAUUAGUUUAUUUUGAAAUAUAAAUAAUAUUCUAAUGAUGUUUAUUAGAUAAGUAAGUUUACCUUAAAGUAGGGCCAAAAUUUGGUAUUGUCCUUGAUUUCUUGAGGACACUUUAAUCCAUCAGGCUGCUUUAAGAAGACAUCAUCUAAAGACAUUAUAGCUCUAAGAACUUGAUGAAAGUGACGACUAAUAGUUUCACUAGAAUGCUUGAAAUAAAAUUUCAUAGUUCUAUUCCUUAAAUUAUGACCAACAAUGUGAAGGAAUUUGGCAACUUGUUCUUCUACAUUACUAUGUGCACUAUUUCUAAUACGACUUGUUCCCCGAAGAAUGUUUACUAGUCUUGCGAAUGCAUCCUUUCCCAUUCGUAGUUGAUUAUAACAAUCUCCAUUAUCCAUUAGUGUAAGUCUUUCCAUCAAAGCAUGUCGUUCAUAAUCUCCUUCAUUAGGGAUUGAUCUCUCCAAAUAGUUUGAGUGAUGAUGAACUGAAACAAGAAUUGCUGCAUAUGCAGCAUACAUAGCAAAGGUUCAUUCGUAUCUCAAAAAUUGUUAUAGAUUUUACUUUUAAUCUAAUGGAUUUUAGAAAAUUAAUUUCGUAUGAUUAUUUGUAGGAAAAAAAAAUGAGCUACAUCUUUGGCCUCAAAGCAGGAACAAUUAACCAUUUUGAUGAGGUAUAUAGGGUAAGCCUUCAUUAUCAAUUGUCACAUUGUUCUUUAUGACAAUUAGUGUUUCCUUUUAGUUCAUUCUUAUACUAUUCCUUUAAUAUCGAAAUUGAAAAAUAAAGUACAUACUUUAUUUGGUUUGUUGUUGUACUAUAUAUUUAUGACAUUAUUCAUGUUCUAAAAUAAUGUAAGUCAAUCCAAGAUGAUUGAUCUGUAUGUUCAAGAUGCUUUAAAGGAGUGUCAUGAGUCUUUUACCGUACAAUUUACAUAUUAGUGUUGGAGUUAUCAUUCUUAAACUAACUCUUUUUUUCAACGGAAUUAUAGGUGAGAAUCAAGUUUAAUCAAACUAUGCUUGGGACUGAUUUUUACUGGAAGACAACCUCAUAUUUCAUAAUGUCACUCAUUGUUGGCAUACAAAAGCUCGAUCAUUAAACAACUUAUGAAAUAAGAGGGUGGUUGAUUAAGAGAGGAAGAAUGGAUUCAAAAAUUGAUCUCCACUUCUGGCACUUUUGGAAGCUUCAAUCAUGCCUUAAAGAACCAGUUGGUUUAUUUAAAGGUUUUGGAAUCUCCUUGCAUGUUGUGGAAGUGUAUUUAGCUUCUAAAUAGAAGUAGAAUUCAAAUCUAGUAUCAACUUUCAAUUACUACAAAUUGCCGCUCAAAUCUCCUUACAUCCUUUCUAUUAGUUGUCCUUCUAUGUUUCUUCAAUGACAACAUAAUUUUAUGUUACUUUGAUGGAAUCAUUUUCUAAUAUUUGUCUAUUUUGAGGUUGUAAUUUUUGGAUGAAACAUGAGUCGUUUAUUCUACCCUUCUUCUUUGUUGUACUUCAUCUUUCUUACAUGGACAUGCCCAAGAUUCUUGAGAAUCAUGUAAAUUUAGUGAUUGUUGUUUGUAUUUGAUAUUAAGAUUUGUUAAUAAUUCUUUUUUUCUUUCUAAUACUCGGUUUGUUUUUAUAUGCGGCUUCCCUUGGGUUUGUAAUCAAAGUGAGAUGCAUGGAAUUUUAAAAUCCAAAUCAGGAAGGAAAACCAGUCUUCUACAAUAUAUAUUUCAAUGAGAAACUAUUUUCUUUGAAGCUUUGGUACAAAUUUUUUUUUUUUUGAAAAAUUUUGAAAUUUAGUGUCUUAGAACUUAUUUUUAGAAAAUGUGAAAAACAUAGUAAAAAUAUUAGGACUAUAAUUCGAAAGGGUUGUAGUCAAUCUAAGUCUAACUCAAUCUCAUUUUUUAAAGAAAAUACUUAUCAAGUUGUCCGUAGUAAAAUCUUCAUUUUUUAAAUUUAUUCAAUAUAUUUAUAUUAAAAUUUAAAUAAUUAAGGAGACUAUUUCAAGAUAGUAAUUAAAAAUAAAAAAUAAAUUUAUAUAUCUUUUUAGAAAAAUGAGAUAGAGUAAUUACAAUUUAAUAUUAUUUUCUUAAAAUUAAAAAAUAAAUAAAAUGAAUAUUAUUAGUGUUGAGUUAUGGUAAGUCUUAUUAUACUAUACACUUUUCACCGUAACAAUCAAUCGACCUUCAUGAUGCUAACGUCAAUGGGUGUGUGGGGUUUGAGGCAUAUGCCCCAAAAGGUUGAGAUUAGGUUGCAGUAACAGGGAAAGUAUAUAGUAACAUUAGGCUACAAACAACUUAACAUAACCUAAUAUUAUUUUUUUAAGUUUAGGUUGAGAUUAGGUUGGUUGGUUGGAUUAUAAUCAAGAGGUCAAAUCGAUCAAGUCAUAUAAUUUAUAAUCCAUUCACAAUGUUUUUUUAUAUAUACAUAUAUAUUUAUACCAAAAUCUAAAUAGUAAAUUGGAUACAAUUUCAAUAUAAUAACAAAAAAGUAAAAAUAAAUUUAUAUAUCUUUAUAAAAAAUAAAAAUAUAUAUUAUAAAAUUAUAUUUAAUAUUUUUUUUCUCAAAAAUAAAAAAGAGAAUAAAUAAAAUGAAUACUUUAAUGUAAGAUUAUAUAAAUUAUAACUAAUAUAAAAAUAUUAAAUUAAAUUACUUAAAUUAUCCAAACCUUAGUCUAAAUAUUAGUCAAAUUGAGUUUGAGUUAAAAAAACUUUACUUAAACUCAACCUAUAUUAAAAAUGAUUACCCACCCUUGUCUAAAAGUAGGAUUUGUCGAACCUAUUUUUUUUUUUCUCUCUUUUAAGUUUACUUGAAAAUAACCAUAUAGCCUUGUAAUUAACUUUAUAAUGAGUUAAAUAUUUUAUAUUCUUUAAUUUUAAAAUAUAAUUGGUAUAAUUUUUGUUUUUUUAAGCAGACAACUUUCCAAGAUGUAAACCUUAUAAAAUACUUGCAUGCCAUGCAAGUCUUCCUCAUUGUUAUGAAUCAUGUCUGUGAUUCUUCUGACCAGUUUCUAUCAGACAAAUUUAUUGCUAUGUGCUGAUAGCCCAACCUACAUAUAUGCUCUCCUCAGCCUGUGCAUGCCAUCCACUAUAAGCAUAACUUUCCCUUGUUUUACAAGUGUAUAUGCUUUCAGAGAGAAUGUUUCCAACGUCACCCAACUUAAUAAAUACGAGUAUGAAUCUUUCUACCUUGAACUUUUUAAUACCUAAAGAAAUACAAUGAUAUAUAAUGCAUAACAAAUCUCUUUUGCAAUGUAGCUAAGGUUUUAUAUACAUGAAACCACACAAAAAAAAAAAAAAAAAUGCAUAGACCAUUCAAAUAAAAAAUUAUGAUAAUUAAGAUUACAUUUGAUUCUUAAAAAUAUCAUGGGAGAAAAAUAAUAUAAUAAAAAAAUCAUUAAAUAGAUUACGUAUAUUUGAUAAAAUAAUUUAAUAUUAUAUACUUAAAAUUAAAAAUAUUUUUAAGUAAUAAGUUAAAAUAAUUAAUUUAUUUUUAUCAAAUCUUUUUUAUCUCAUUUGCUGACUACGAUAAAAAUAUAUUUUACAACCAUGAUUCUACGUUCAUGAUUCAUUUUUUUUUAAUAUAAAUAUUAUCAAUUAACUUGACUAUCUAAAGUACUUUAAAUAUAGUUAUUUAAAAAAAUAAAUUUAUUAUUUAAUAUUAAGAAAAAUAAAUAUUAAUUAAAAUCAAUAAGAAUAAAUAUUAGUCAAAAUUAAUAACGGUAAUUAUGUCAAUUUUAUUAUUUAGAAUAAAUGUUAAAUUAACUUUGCCUAUCAUUAUUAAUACUUAAAAUAAAAACAAAUAAUAAAAUUUAAAUCAACAUUUAGGAAUAAUUUAACAUAAAAUCCACUUAAAUGUUUACCAAAUGCUCUUUUAGUAUAAUAAAAAAAGGGAUUUAGGAUUUAGAUAUAAAUAAAUCCUUUUUUUACUACAUGAUAAUUGGGAUUAAUCAUCACUUAUUUGCAAGCCACUUUUUGAUAUUAUAUUUUUCUGAUACAAAAUGAUAAAAAUAAAUAGAAACAAAAAACAGAAAAGAAAAAGAUGCCUUGUACAAGAUUAGUUACGGGUAUAGUACAAGUAAAUAAAUAAAUAGAUUUUAAAAAAAAUCCACCUACCAACCCAAGUUGGUUUAUAUUAUUGAAACAAUAAGUCUCAAUAUUCUAAGUAAACCAUGUGCGAGACCUCGAAAAAAUAUCUAUUGAAAACUAAUGCGUAUACAAGCAUUGCUUUUAAAGAAGUUUCCUCUCAAAAUAGAAAUUUUAUUUUAUAAACUUAUUAUUAACACAGACGAAAUUAUCUAAUUGGGAUUUUAAAUAUUAAUAUAGAAUUUUUGUUUUAAAAAAAAAAACAGUCAUCUUAAAAUAUGAAAAUUUUAAAUGAAACUUUGAAGAAUGAUAAACCUAUCAAUGAUGCAUGCAUGAUAAAUAUAUAAUGUGUAUUAAUAAAUAAAUAAUGUGUAUUAAUAAAUAAAUACCCAAUAAUAAUGUAAAGAUAAAGGUUGUAUUCCAAAAUCCCCCAAAUGGAAGCAUGCAAUGUUUGCUCUUGAUAUUGAGAUUUGUUUAUAUUUUGAUUAAGACUUCCAUGGGUGAAAACCUCUUAUGGACUUGCCCCCAUCAUAAAACUUCUCAUCCACUCACCAAACACAAUUCAAUUCACCACCCAACCUAUUUCAAGUAAUAAAUGUUGGGUCUACAAAAUUGAGAUGGCAAGUAGUUUAUAAGUUAAUUAAUACAUUUUUAUUUUUUAUUCAUAAUGAUUACAAUAUUUAAAAUUUAUUAAAAAAGUUAUAUUAUAUUUUUAAAUAUAUAAACAUAUUUUGUAUAUUAAAUAAUACUAUAUAUCACUAUUAUUUAGGUUUUAUUAUUAUAUACAUAUUGUUAAGUUCUUUUCUUCUUGCAAUCAAAAGUUUGAUUUUUUAAUUGUAAACUUUUAUUUUAGAAAAUGAGUGAUAAAAAAUUAAAAUAAAAAAAUGAAUGAAAAAAAAAAUAUAAUACAUAUUUAAAAGGGAAAACUGAUCAAAAGGGACAAAAAUCCCUCAAUAUUGUAAAACUAACCCCCCACUUUUAAUAGCCUCUAAAAUGACCCAAUUUGGACAAAAAUACCCCUCAGGUACAUCAACUCUUUUUUCUCUCUCAUUCUAAUUUUAUUUCCCUCCAUUCACCUCUUUUUUAUUAUUUCUUCCACUUUCUCCUUUUUUUUCAUUUUCUCCUGUUAUUCCGUUUCUCUCUUUUUCAGUGCAUUUCUUCAAGUCUCACACAGUUUCUUUUCAAAUUUCUUCAACUUAAAGCGCUUUAAGUUGUGGUUGGAUAAACAAUGUAUGUUUAUUUUUAUUUUUUCCAUAUUUUUUUCUUUCAUGUUUUAUUUAUUGAAUAUUUUCAAACAUUUAAUGAGAUGUAGUAAAUAUUUAAAUAAGUUUGAAAUUGUUAUAAUUUUUUUAAUAUCAUUUACAGCCAUGAAAAAAUGGAUUAAAAGAAGGAAACAAUCAGCUUAAAAAGUGUCGUGUGGAGAAACAUUGUCCAUAUGGAAAAAUCAAAUGAUGGUAAGUAAUAAAACUUAUGGAAUUUUAUGAUGGUUUUGGUAUUGUUUGCAUAUUUGUUCUUUAUAUAGAUGUAAAUAUAUGUGUUAAUAGAGUUUUGAUAUAAUAUAUAAAGUUAUCUUUUUUAGUUAUAUACCAAAACUUUACAGAUAUUAAGUUGAACUUGACGUAAGUUAAGAUUGUAUAUAGUUAUUUUAUAGUAACAUUAUAUUAUUGUUAUUUUAUUUAAUUAUACUCAAUUUGAGUUGAAUCAUUUGCAAAUUACCCUUGACAUUAAAUGAAUUACAACAUAACCAAUCUUUUAGUAAAUAAAUAUAUUUUUAUUGUUUAAAAUAGUUUAAAGUUACAAUGUCUGAAUUUAUUUAAUAACUAUAUACAUUGUAUUUCUAUAGCAUUAUUGGUAUUAUUUGAGGUAGUAAAGAUGAUUAAUAAUGUUAUUUAUUUGUUAUUUAUUAAAAUAUAUAUAUAUAUAUAUAUAUAUAUAUAGAUAUAUAUGUGUAAUGAAAUAAUAUGUAUGUAAUAAUUGUUAGAAAUUUGAGGCUAAUCCAACUUAUGGUAAUCACCCUAUAGGAGGGGGGGUGAAUAGGGUGAUGGUAUCUUUUUCACAAAUUUAAACUAUACAAAAAUAAGAGACAAUUAUAUGCAAGUAUAUUAUAAACAAAAUAAAGACAAUUGCAUAUAAUUUAAAAGAGUUAGGGAAGAGAAAGUGCAAACACGAGAGUUUAUAGUGGUUCGGCACUUCCUUGCCUACGUCCACUCUCCUCAACCUCCUAACCGAGUGAGGGUUCCACUAUCUUGAAGCUUCAACCAAGCUUCCAAUCUCUUUACAAUUGGAUUAUGGUUCCAAUUCACCCUCUUGGACUUUUGGCUCCAAGCACCCUUUACACUUUUCAAGAGAUAUCCCACUCUUGAACAACCUCUCAAGUGAUACCCCACACUUGAGAAAAUUCCUCACAAAGAUAUACAAAUAAUGAUCUCUCAAAAUCCUAGUAAUAGAACUUUAGGCUCAAAUAUACAAGAAAAACUAGGAUUGAAUGGUGCACUAAAGAUAUGCAAGUUAUAAAACAAUGGUGCACUAAAAAACACUCUUCCAAAGCUCAAAUAUAAUCAAGAAUAAUUUGGGAAGGUUAAGCUUAUGAAACAAUGAAGAUUGGAGCCUUUUUAUAGAAGAAAAAAGUCAAACUAGUCGUUGGGGGUUUGACCGGUCGAGCUAGGGGUCGACCGGUUGACUAGCCGUUGGGAAAAGUGACCGUUGGGCCUCAACCGGACCUCGAUCGGACCUCAACUGAUUGAGGUUCAACCUUGACAGGGAAGAGAAGGCCACUGUAAGAGAGAGAAACUUUUUGGUCUCCCUCAACCGGUCCUCGACCGGACGAGCACAACUAGUCGAUCGGUUGAGCUAUUUUUUUGGCUCAACACUCAACAUUUUUCAACUUAAAACCUUUUAACACAAGUUUGAAAAUCAUUUAACACAAGGUUUUAGUUCAAAACAUGAAAUCAUCCAAUUCUUAAGAUAUUUAAAACAAUAUUACUCUUGGAUAAUUUUGGUGCAUAAAUAAAGAAUGAAAUGCAUAAAAUUCAUAGUGUACCAACAACCUUACAAAGAGAUCUUAAGAAGUUUUGGUCUUGAAAAACUCUUCUCUUUGAGGUGGUCUUCUUCAUCAUGAUUUCUCUUUGGCUUGACUUGUCUUUGGAUUGCCACUUUGGAAUUCGUCUUGCCUAAUCACACUUGAAAUAUGAUUAUUAGUUCUAAACCUUGUUUUGUUAUCAUCAAAAUCAAGAUUAACCAAACCUUGGUUUCACAAUAAUGAAUGAGUUUUUUAAAAUUAAUACAUACUCAUUGGUGCUAAUGUUAUGAUGUAACUAAAAAGUAUUCUAAUAUUGUUUGUUGAUGACACUAAUUGAAUUAUUUUGUUAUUUCAGUGGUUGAUGAAGUAAGAAUAAUGCUUUUAUAUGAAGGAGAAUGGGUAUGAGAUGGAAAUGCUUUCUAUUUCGAAGGAAGUAAAGGUAAAGGCAAAGACAUUGAGAUCUCGAAAACUAUAUCAUAUAAAGAGUUAUUAGGGGUCAUCAUAUUCUGAAGCUAGGUCCAACAAAUUGUUUUAUUUCAAUGAAGUAUGUAUUCAAUGCCAACAUACCCACAAGUCCUAUACAACUAACUGAUGACGGGGAUGUGAAAUUCUUUAUUGGUUUAAAUUGUACAAAUGGUAAGCUGCAUGUUCCAUUGUGUAUCACAGUUGAAAAAAGAAUUGAUAAUCAUAAUCAGAAAUCAAUUUGAAAUUCUUAUUCCGAAUGUCAUAUGUCUUAUGAGAUUGAUAAAGAAUUGAAUGGGGACUCAAUGUUGAUUCAUAAAAGUAAACACAUUCAUUGUGAUUCGAUUGAAACUCUUACUGUUGAUGGUGAAAUUGGACCAAGAUUUCAAAAUGAGUCACUUAAAGGGUAUAAAGUUCAUGAUUGGAACAUGAAUGAGACUGCAAUUAAUGAGAAGAAUUAUAGGAUGAAUACUAACCCUACUAAUGAUAAGCAAGUGACCCAAAUUGGCUCAUUCAGAACUGGUUCAGCUUAGAGUGCAGAAAUCUUGACCAUGAUUGAUAUAAAUGAUGGUUUCAUACAUGACAAUCCCACUAUAAUUGAAGAUGUAGCAAAUGAAAGACAAAACAUGAUGCAACAACCUAUAGUUAGUGGAAUUAGUGAUGACCAUCUAGAAGAGCACCAAAUAUACUCAAGUAAGAAAGAAUUACAAAGGAAAUUGUAUAUGAUGGCUCUGAAAAGGAAGUUUGAGUUCAAAACAACUAAAUCCACUACUAAGUUAUUUCUUAUUGAAUGUUUUGAUAAAGAAUGCAAGUGGCGAGUUCAUGCUACCAAGUUGGGGAUUUCCAAUAUGUUUCAAAUAAUGAAAUUCUAUUCAACACACACUUGUGGGUUAGAUAUGAUGUCUCGUGACAAUCGACAUGUAAGUAGUUGGUUGAUUGGUGAAAGUAUAAGAGAAACAUAUCAAGAGGUUGGUUGUGAAUUUCGACCAAAAGACAUUGUAGCAGACAUUCGAAAGCAGUAUGGCGUUCAAAUCAGUUAUGAUAAGGCGUGGAGAGCCAGAGAACUUGCUCUAGGUUCUAUUAGGGGAUCACCUAAGGAGUCUUAUAACACUUUACCAUCAUAUUGCUAUGUUUUAGAGCAAAAAAAUCCUGGUACCAUUACCGAUAUAGUUAUUGAUUGUGAUAAUCAAUUCAAAUACUUUUUUAUGUCAAUUGGUGCAUCUCUUGUUGGGUUUCACACAUCAAUAAGGCUUGUGGUUGCAAUUGAUGGGACAUUUUUGAAAGCAAAGUACUUAGGGACUUUAUUUAUUGUAGCGUGUAAAGAUGGCAACAAUCAAAUAUACCCUUUAGCCUUUGGGAUUGGUGACUCAGAAAAUGAUGCCUCAUGGGAGUGGUGUUUACAAAAAUUGCAUGAUGCACUUGGACACAUUGAUGAUUUGUUUGUGAUAUCAAAUUGACAUGGUAGCAUUGAGAAAGUAGUACAUAAAGUAUUUCCCCAUGCGAGGCAUGGUGUCUGUACUUAUCACGUUGGACAAAAUUUGAAGACAAAGUUUAAGAAUCUUGCAAUUCAUAAGUUGUUCCAUGAUGCUGCCCAUGCUUAUCGUGUUUCAAAGUUUAAUUUUAUAUUUGGGCAACUAGAUAUGAUGGACCGAAGAACAGAAAGAUAUUUGAUGGAUAUAGGAGUUGAUCGAUGGGCACGUUCAUAUUCUACCAAAAAAAGAUAUAAUUUCAUGACGACAUGGAUCGUUGAAAGCCUUAAUGUUGUGUUGAAAAAUGAUAGAGAUCUUUCUUCCGGUUUUGCAAUUGGUUGAAGAAUUGAAAAACUUACUUCAAAAAUGGUUUGUGACUCAUCAACAACAAGCAAUGCCAAUGUCAACUGAACUUACCAGGUGGGCUGAUGGAGAACUUCAUUCGAGGUAUAAUAUGUCAGCAACAUAUCUAGUGGAACCUAUCAACUCCAAGGAGUGUAAUGUUAACUAUGCUAGCAUUAGUGCUCAAGUGAAUUUAGACACUCGUUCAUGCACAUGUCGACAAUUUGAUCUUGAUCAUAUUCCAUGUACACAUGCUAUUGUUGCUUGUAGAUUUUACAACAUUUCAUGUUACACUUUGUACUCCAAGUAUUUUACUACUAAAGCAUUGUUAUCUUCAUAUUCAAAGUGUAUUUAUCCAACUGGAAAUGAAAUAGAUUGGUUAGUACCUAAUCAUAUUCAUGACAAAGUUGUGUUACCACCUAAAACGAGACGCCCAACAGGAAGACCAAGGAAAGUAAGAAUUCCUUCUGGUGGAGAGGGCAAGCGCACAUCUCGUUGUAGUCGAUGUGGUCAAUAUGGGCAUAAUUGGAAAACAUGCAAACGACCAAUCCCUUGAUAUCAUGAUAACUUUGGAACUCUAUGAACUUAUAUGGAAUGAAAAUUGUAAUAGUGAGCUUUUUUGUUUUUUUGGUACCCAUGUGAAUGGAAAUGUAAGUUACUUUUUGUAUAAGGUGAUAGGAUAAGCAUAGAGAUGAAUAUUGUAAUAAUGAUCCCUUUUUUUGCAUACCCAUAGAAAUAGAGUUACUUUUGUACAUAUAUGUUAUGAUGAGUUAUGUACAAAGUAUGAAUGAAAAUUGCAUAUUUAUUCUCAAACUAUGGACUUAAUUGUUCUCACGUUUAUUGAUAAGGAACUGGACAAUAGUUAAGUUCAGGUUUUGUCUGAAGACUGUAGACUUAACUACCUUCAAGUUUGUACAUAAAACAACUUGUCAAUGGUUAAAUUCAGGUUUUGUCUAAAAACUGUUGACUUAACUGCCUUCAAGUUGGUACAUAAAACAACUUGACAAUAGUUAAGUUCAAGUUUUGUCUAAAGACUGUGGACUUAACUACCUUCAAGUUUAUACAUAAAACAACUUGACAAUAGUUAAGUUCAGGUUUUGUUUAAAGACUGUGAACUUAACUACCUACAAGUUGGUACAUAAAACAAGUUGACAAUAGUUAAGUUCAGGUUUUGUCUAAAGAUUGUGGACUUAACUAUCUUCAAGUUUAUACAUAAAACAACUUGACAAUAGUUAAGUUCAGGGUUUUUUAAAGACUGUGAACUUAACUACCUUUAAGUUUGUACAUAAAACAACUUGACAAUAGUUAGGUUCAGGUUUUGUCUAAAGACUAUGGACUUCACUACCUUCAAGUUUGUUCAUAAAACAACUUGACAAUAGUUAAGUUCAGGUUAAAAUGGCAAUUGUAGACACAACUUCCUAUGAGUCUAUAGAAGAUCAACUUGAUACCUGUUAAGUCCAGAUUAAAUCUGUUAUUCUGGAAUAGACUUCGACUUAAUAUCUGUUAGGUUUGUUCACAGUUAACUUGAUAGUAGUUAAGUUCAGGUGUUCUAUUAAGACUGUGGACUUAACUACCUUCAAGUUUGUACAUAUAACAACUUGACAACAGUCAAGUUUAGUUUAAAAGGUCAAUUAUAUACAUAACUAUUGAACAACAUUCAUCAAAAUAUCCAAGUAUAUAUAUCAAGUUGUCCAACUACAUUUAUCAAAAUGUCUAACUACAUAUAUGAAGCUAUCCAAUUACAUAUAACAAACCAUCCAACUACAUUAUCAAAAUGUGAAAUAUCAACAUGAAUUCAUUACAUAGGCAAGUAUUUCAUAUAAAAUAACUCUGCUGCCAUCUUUUCCCGAAACCAGUCCAUUCGAGCACUUGUUAAUGACUUCAAUGGAUGGUUGUGCAUUAAGUAUUCAACAUAUUUGAUAACAAACAUGCCACAAUCAUCACUGCAUGGUACACAGAUAAUCAAUGUUAGGGCUAUUAUUAAGGAUUAAGUGUAUAAGAUAUGAAAGUAAAUUUAAGAUCACUUACUCAUUUUCUUGUUGAGGAAUAUCUUACAGCCGUUCAAUUUCCCAUUCCUGGUAGUUAACUUUUGUGUCACCAUGAAACCCAUAAUAUGCUAUUGCAUUUAAGAUAUGCGGCAACAAUGUGGUUAAUGGUUUAAUGGAAACUUGCAAUCUUGCAUUAUUAUUGAUGCCCAUCAAUGAGUCAUAUACAUAUAUAAUCCUUCGAUGAAGGUGGACAACUCCUAAUACCCAGUGACUAACCCGAACAUUGAUGGGGACAUACACAAUGUCAACAUCAGGCCAUUUGAUAGAAUAAAGAGGCUGCAAACCAUUGGCAUAAUCAAUAAGAAUGUCAUUCUCUGGUAAUUUGAAUAGGUUCCAUUUCUUGACAUGCUUAAUCCAUUUUGCUAUAUAGAAUAAAGUUAACAUACAUAAAUAAAUAACCAAGAUUAUAAGAUUCAUUAUUACAAAAAAUUAAAAAUGAUAACUAAAAUUCAAACUACACAUACCCAAAACAUAGUAUCCAUUGUGGUAAACUUUUGGGGAAAAAAAUGAGGAUUUUCUAUUCGUUGCUUCCGGAAAAACAAGGCAACAUCAAUGUGCUAACAAUUAGUGUUUGGAUACCCGGUUCUCCAAAGCUCUUUGCAAACCAAAUAGUGUCAUCUCAUAACAAAUCCCCUCCCCCCAAUGGAUACUUGUUAAAAGCCUCCAAAUUAUCAACCAAAGCAACUCAUUCCAUAUCUAUUAAAUUUUUUCCUUCUUUCCCAAAUAAAACAUGCUCUAAAAAAUAGAAAAGUGCCAACUUUAUCACUUCUUUAUCUUCAAAUUCUUUUUUUUUCUUAUUCUUUUUCUUUUUCUUUUCCUCUCUUUAAGAAAGAAAAACUUUCUCCAACUCAUCAUUACGCACCUUGUUUUCUCCUUUAAAGUAUAUGUCCCUUAUUUGUAAUGAUUUUUUAUCACAUUUUAUAAUAGGACCAAAACUCAAGCCCGUAAUCAAUGCAAAACUCUUCUUUACUAAAUCUUAAGCCCUUUGACUUUAAUAAAAUCCAUAUUUUAUUGUCUUUUUUGGUUUCACAUUGACGUAACAACAAUUGAUGAACAAUUUGGGCUAAAAAUCUAAGUUCGGGAAAGAGUAAAAAAUGACCAAAACAUGAUUUUCUAAACAUCUUCAAUUGUGGUUCAGUCAAUUUCUUCUUAAUAUUUUCAAUGGCUACCAAGUGAGACAAACAUGCAAUUUUUCCAGGAAAGUACUCCUCUUUAGGUAUUUUAGAUAUAAAAGAUAGGGAGAGGAGGAGGAAUGUCAAUCUAUAAGAUAAUAGCAAAUUGUAAAAAUAUCAAUAUAAAUUGAGCAAAAUUAUAUUUCCAAACUUAUCCAACUAUGUUAAAUCCUUCAUUUCGUAUUACUUCUUAACAUAGACUUUAUUUUCCUAUUAUUUAAGAAUGCCAUGUCAAAUGCUAAUAUUCUAAAGAUAUUAUUUUACUAAUGCAAUUGAAGCUAUUAUAUUUUACUAAGUUGCAGCUACAAAAAAUUGGAGACAUUAUUCUAGUGUUUAUUGAAAUUUGAAACAAAACCAAACCAUUUUGAAAUUGCAACCUGUUGACAAUGAACUUGAUAGCAGUUAAGUUCAGUUUUUUCUUAACAUAUAUAUUUAAAUCAAAAUUCUAAAUAUUUGGAUAAAAUAAAUUCAUAAAAAUUAUAUUCAAAUACAUUAUAAAUUCAUAACAAAUAACUUCAUUACACAAAAUUUCAAAACCUUUUGAUGGUAAACUUGAUAGUAGUUAAGUUUAGUCUUUUCUAAUCAUUCAAAUAUUGCUUUAAACCUUGGACUAUAACCUCACUGAGAAAAUUUUCAACAAUUAGAUUAUCAAUUCAUGAAAAAUAAUUUCAUAAAAAAAAUGAUAAUUGAUUAAAAGGGAUAAAAUGUAAAAAAAAAAAUUAAAAAUCAAAAUUUCAAGUAGAAAAUUAAUGCUUACUGAAUCAGUUGAUUUCUUCUCAUUUUCUGAUGACGAUGACAAGGUUUCAAAACCUUGCUUUCUUUCACUUCUCUUUUUUCUCAAAAUUUUAUACCCUUCUGUUUCAUAUUUUUCAUCACCGAAUUUUUUUCUUCCUCCAUUUUCAUGAACUGAAUCAACACACAAUAUCAGAAAGAUGAAAAAUAGGGCUUGAUUUAAAAAAAAUAAAAUGAACCAAAAUAAGACACGUAGGGUUUCUUCUCAUUUCAUGGAUGAAGAUUCAUAUGUACAGUUCAAAAAACUGAAAUCAAAGAAUGAAACAGUGAAACUUACUUUUUGUUUUUUCCUUGUGUUGUGUUGCCUUUUUGUUCUCUUACAAUAAACGAAAAAGUCUUUUGUGAUUUCUUUCUCGUAGGUUAAUGGAUGAAACAAAUGGGUUUUCAGGGUAAGGAAGAGACACAGCACUAGGGAAAAUUGGAGUUGGAAGGAAAAUGACCUGAAAAGAUAGCUGAAUGGGUAUUUUUGUCUGAGUUGGGUCAUUUUUAAGACUUAAAUAAGUGGGGAGGUUAGUUUUGCAAUAUUGAGGGAUUUUUGUCCAUUUUAAUCGGUUAUCCUUAUUUAAAAUUAUCAUAUUUCAUAUAGAGAAUAUAAAAAAAAAUAGAUUAUUUCACUACUUAUUGUAUCUCAUAUUACAAAUACAAAUAUGGGAUACUGUAAGAUUACUCAUCGGGAUCAAACUCCAUCAAAUCAUUUGGCCAAAAAACAAGGAGAAAAUGGCAAUAUCACUACAUGUUGAAUUAAAAGUCAUAAAAACUUCACAUCAUCUUUAAUUAUUCAACCAACAUCAAAAAACACUCAUCCAAGGUUAAAAUAAUAUUCAAGAAUGAUUUAUAAUUCUUCCACUUUAAUAUAAGUAUAGAGUAUUUAAAUAGAAUUUAGAACCCCAAACUAGUUAUUAGAUACAACUUAAGUUUGAUAGAUCAGUCAAUCUGUCAAGCGGCUACUAGUCGUUGGGGUUACUGUUGUCCAAUCGAUUUAACUAAUCUUUAACCAAUGAAAAUUUAGUUUUGCCAAUCUUGAGCAUUUUAAUCGGUUCUCAAUAAAUAGAAACAUGAGGAUCAACAGAUUCCCCUGUAUAUACCUCAAUUGAUUCCACUAAUUUUGAAAAAAUUAAAUCCAAUCAAGUUUGGGAAACCUAGGCUAAUAUAAUCUUAACUUUUUAAAAAUUCUUUAGAAAUAUUUUAAUUUUCUUUUUAGAAAUUAUUGUACUCAUACGCACUUAGAUUAAAUCAUUAAUUUCAAAUUUUAUUUUAUAAUUAUAACAGGUGAGAUUAACACUUAGGGAUAGUAAUGAAACGGGUUUUUUUAGGUACUCAUCCUACCCCUAAUAGAACGGGUUUCAAUUUUAACUAAACAGAUUUGGGACGAGUUUGAAAUUUUUUUUAAAAAAACAUGGCAGGUUUGGAACGGGUUUAGAUAUUGCCUUGCCUUACCCCGAUUAUAUAUAAAAUUAAUUUAAUUUUUAUUUUACUAUUUUUAAUAUAUAGAUAAUAAUAAAAUAUUUUUAAUAAAAUAAGUUAUAAAAAAAUAUAAUAAUUUAAUUUUUUAUAAAAUAUAUUUAUUUUAAUGUAAUUAAAAAAUUUUAAAGUAAUUUUUUUUAAAAUAUUCAAAAAAAAAGUUAAAUGGUGGGAAUUUCUCAUACUCAUUUCACCCCGUCCUGUCCCGUUUAAUUUUUUAAAUAUGACAAAUAUAUGAAUUAUUUUGAAUAAACGGGGUGGGAUUGGGAUGGGGGCAACCCGCCCCAUUGUUAUCCCUAUUAGUGCUUAACAGUCUUUAUAUUAGUCAUUGUUUUGCAUAUCCACCAUCUUAAAAAUUCAAGUUGAAAUUAUUGAAUCUAGAAAAAAUAUAGGUAAUUACAAAAAUAAUAACCAACAAAGCUGCGUAAUAUUCACAAUAAUGAAUAUCCCUACAUGACAUAUUUUAAAAAAAAAAAAACUAUUGGCUUGAGAUUUGAAAUCUAACUUUUUUAAAAGGUAAAGAAGGUGAGCAAUGCUCCCUUUAUAUAAGUUGUGCCCCGUCUUCAUGUAGUUUCUUUUUAGAUAUUCUCUAUAAUAUUUUUUAUUUCUUUCCAUCUUUAUUUCCUUAAGCUAUAUUUGGUUUCCAAAAAAUACUACAAAAUAUUAAGAAAAAUUAUUUUCUUAUGUUUAGUUUCACUAUAGAAAAUAUAAAAGAAAAUCAAAUAUAAUUAAAAUUUAUUUAAAUUUUAUACAUUUUAAAAUUAUUUAAUCUUACUAUAAUAGAAAGAAAUAAAUAAAAUAAGUUUAAAAAACGUAUAAAAAUAAUUUAUUAAAUUUAAACUUAUUUUUUAUUUUUUUUCACUUUUUCUUUUUUGCUACUUUUGUUCUUUAUUUUCUAUUUUUUUACAUUUUCCCUAAAAUUUUAUAGGAAUCAAACAUAGUCUUAAAAUUUUAAAUAAAAAUUAUCUAAUUUACAAAAAAUAUAGACAAUUGUGAAGUAGUAGGGUGUUGUCUACAUAUAUGUUACAACAUCCACAAAUAUUAUACCCAAUCAAUAAGAGAACUAUCAAUCUAUCAACUUUUUUUUUUUUUUAAUAUAUUAAGAAAUGUGGUGACAUCAUAAAGUCUUUUUUUAAGGUGAAUAAGGUUUUUCAUACAUGAAAUUAUACCACAAAUAUAUAAACCAUAAGAAAAAUAAUUUUUUUAAUAUUUGCAUGUUAUGAAUAUAUAUAUAUAUAUAUAUAUAUAUAAUGCUAAAAGGUUUUUCUCACCAUUUUCUUUAUAUAAAGGUGAGUAAAAUUUGACAAAAGUAUAUUUCUCAAAAUUUAAAUUUAAUUUUCUUUCCCUAAAUAGGAGUUUUUUUUUCCUUUCCUUAUAAUCUUUCACUCUAUUUUCUUCUCUCUCUCUCUCUCUUUCGAUUUUCCAUGAAACAACCUUGAUAAUAAUAAUAAUAAUAAAUGUACAAAACAUAUACAUAGAAGGAAUUCCUUAUCAUUAAAAAAAUCUAAGUUAAGCUACACUUGUAACGGUAGUAUUAUUUAUUUUUUUUAUAUUUUUUUUCAAUGACAAGUUUGAUAUAAUUUUACAUCAUUUCAAAUACUUGCCCAUUUUAAGAUUGUAAUUUUUGGAUCAAACAUGAGAGUUUCUUCUACUCUUCUAAUUUGUUGUAAUUUUUUCUAUCUUUGUCAACAAAUUUUAUUUUUCUCCCCUCUAUCGAGGUACCUAAUAUGGUUAUGAAUCAUGUAAAUAUAAAUCGAGUUUUUGUUGUUUUUUCUACAUAUUAAGAUUUGUUAAUAUUUUUACUUUCUCAAUAUUUGUGUUAUUUCUUCUAAGAAUUCCUUCAAGUUUGGGACAAGUCCUAAAAUAGGAUGAAAGAAAUAAUCACAUUCUUUCUCAAUCUAGUGUUAAAUCUUGGGUUGUUUGAAGGCCAAUAUCCCUUCAAUAAGGCUAAAGUGUAUUUAUUAGAACAAUUGGAGAUUGCAUGUUGUGUCACUAAGGUGAAUAAUAGGAGCAAUUGGAGAUUAGUGCAUCGCAAACAUGGAUCAAAUUAUAGGUAUUAAAGAGUAAGUCUUUAGGUAAAGUAAGUAGGUAAAUUUGUGUGACUUGAUCUCAUAUAAUGGAUUUAGAUUUGAGGUCUUAAAGCUUGUAUUUUUUUAUCUCCAUUUAGUGUGGAGGUUUUCCACAUAAAACUUUUGUGUGUCCCCUUGCAUACUUUUUUUUAUUAUUCGAGUAUUUUAAAUAUAUUGAUUAUCUCUUAUAUUCUAUAAGUUUAAAAUUGGAUUUAUUUCAUUCCUUAUAUUAUAAUUUUUAAAUAUGUCUAUUCACCCCUUCUAAGAGUUAUCGUACUGGACAUCGGUUUUUCAUAAUUAAUAAACAAUGAAGCCGUCACUAAUAGCUUCCUACAUUUUCAAAUUAAAAAUCGCAAAACUUCACACCAACUCAAGAUAAAUGGUUCAAUUAUUCAACUACCAUCACCACCACUUAACCCAUUUCAAAUAUAUAAAUAAAUGUUGGGUUUAGUUUUAAUAAUCGGAGCGUGACUCACAUGGUUAAGCUCUUUUACUUUCCUUUUAUAUUUAUGAUGUAUUGUUUUGGUUUACCUUUUUUAAUCAAAUAUUCCAAAAUUUGGAUCGCAAGUGGUGCCUUUUUUAAAUGUCUUCCAACCCAUCUUCAUACAUGAAACUAUGAAGAUUAUAUUUGAUUCAUAUAAAGUACGGAGAAAAACAAAAGAAAAUAAUAAGAAAAAUAAAAUAAUUACUUUAUGUUUGGAUGUCAUGGGAAAAUGUGAGGAAAAAAUAUUAAGAAAAAUCGUAAGAUAAGGUGACGGUUCAUCACAUGAAAGGAGACAGUUGUUCCUGCACAUGGGCAUGUGCCCCCAUGUGGAUUUGAAUGUGAAAACAGAAGCGUUUGUCUAACAAUUAUUUCUCUGCAAUUUAUUUAUAUCACUCGGGCGAUGCAAUGGUUGACUGUGAUUAACUUAAUAUUACUUCUCCCUACAACGGCUCUCUCUGUAAUCUCUAUAUAUUAUCCUCACAUGUAUUCCUAUUGCUCCUCACAACACUAUCGCUUGUUUCUUUCUCGUAUUCUCUCUUGCUACAAUUCCAUUCAUUCUCCUUAGCUGUUUGAAAGAUGGCCGAACAAAUUCCAUUCAGUCUUAUUGAGAAGCUUUUGAUGAAGCUGGGGUCUUCAAUUUACGGAGAAAUUGGGUUGAUGUAUGGUGUCCGAAACGAGCUGGGAAAGCUUCAGGACAAACUGUCCACGAUCAAAGCUGUACUUGUUGAUGCUGAGGAGCAGCAGCAGAGGAGCCAUGCUGUAGCAACUUGGGUGCAGAGGCUUAAAGAUGUUGUUUAUGAUGCUGAUGACUUGUUCGAUGACUUUGCAACUGAAGAGUUACGGAGAAAAACGGAAGUGCAGGGAAGAUGUGCUGGACAAGUAGGUGACUUCUUCUCAUCUUCCAAUCACCUUGCUUUUCGAUUUAAGAUGGGUCAUAGAAUAAAGGAUAUUAGAGAAAGGCUAGAUGAUAUUGCAAAUGAAACCUCCAAGUUAAAUUUUAUUCCCAGAGUCAUAUCUGAUGUCCCGGUAAGGAAUAGGGGGAGGGAGACGUGCUCUGUUGUGGAGAAAUCUCAUAAAAUUGUGGGUAGAGAUGAAAACAAAAGGGAGAUAAUAGAGUUGUUGAUGCAAUCAAGUACUCAAGAAAAUUUGUCAAUGGUUGUGAUUGUAGGCAUAGGGGGCUUAGGCAAGACCACCCUUGCUCAGUUGGUUUACAACGACCAAGGGGUGGUAAGCUAUUUUAAUCUUAAAAUGUGGGUUUGUGUUUCGGAUGAUUUCGAUGUAAAAGUACUGGUUAGAAAUAUCAUAAAGUCUGCAACUAAUAGAGAUGUGGAAAACUUGGAGUUAGAUCAGUUGCAAAAACGUCUUCAAGAAAAGUUAGAUGGGAAGAGGUACUUGCUUGUGUUAGAUGAUGUCUGGAACGAGGACAAAAGGGAAUGGGGUCAGUUCAUAACCUUAUUGCCUGUUGGUGCAAAUGGGAGUAAAAUCUUGGUGACCACUCGAAGCACAAGAGUUGCAUCAGUUAUAGGAAUUGAUUCCCCAUAUAUUGUGGAAGGUCUUAAAGAUGAUGAGUCUUGGGAUUUGUUUGAAAGUCUUGCAUUUAAAAAGGGAGAAGAGCAAAUGCACCCAAACCUUGUAGCCAUAGGAAAAGAAAUUGUAAAGAUGUGCAAAGGAGUUCCUCUUGUCAUCGAGACUUUAGGCGGAAUGUUGUACUUCAAUACCCAAGAAAGCCAUUGGUUGAGCAUUAAAAAAAAUAAAAAUCUUGUACUUCUUGGAGAAAAAAAUGAUAUUUUACCGAUAUUGAGGUUAAGCUAUGACAAUCUUCCCGUCCAUUUGAAACAAUGUUUUGCCUAUUGUGCAUUGUUUCCCAAAGAUUAUAUAAUUCAAAAAAAGUUGUUAGUACAACUAUGGAUGGCACAAGGUUACCUUCAACCAUAUGAUGAGAAUAUAGAUUUAGAGGAUGUUGGUAAUCAAUAUUUUGAAGAUUUAUUGUCAAGGUCAUUGUUUCAAAAAGUUGAAAAUAAAAAUACAAAUAAUAUAGUAAGUUGUAAAGUGCAUGACUUAAUGCAUGAUCUUGCACAAUCCAUUGUAAAGUCUGAGAUUAUCAUUGUAACAGAUGAUGUGAAGAUUAUUUCACAUAGAAUUCAUCAUGUGUCAUUAUUUACAAAACACAAUGAAAUGCCCAAGGAUUUAAUGGGCAAAUCCAUCAGGACUUUCUUUAACAGCGCCGGCUUUGUGGAUGAUCAUGAUGGUUCUAUAACUAGACUCCUUUCAAGCUUAAAAGGUUUGCGGGUAAUGAAGAUGAGGUUCUUCUUACGAUAUAAGGCUGUGUCAUCUUUAGGAAAACUAAGUCAUCUAAGAUAUCUUGAUCUUUCUAAUGGGUCGUUUGAAAACCUCCCAAAUGCUAUUACAAGAUUGAAGCAUUUACAGACAUUGAAGCUUUUCUAUUGUUUCGGUCUGAAAGAAUUGCCGAGAAAUAUGAAAAAAUUGAUCAACCUAAGGCAUCUUGAGAUUGAUGAAAAAAAUAAAUUAAGUUAUAUGCCACGUGGGUUGGGAGAUUUGACUAAUCUUCAAACCUUGCCAUUAUUCUGCGUAGGGAAUGAUAGUGGCGAAUCCAGGCACAAGAGAAUGGGUAGGUUGAAUGAACUGAGAUUCCUUAACAAUCUCAGAGGACAACUACAAAUUAAAAAUCUUUCAAAUGCGAGAGGCAGUGAAGCUAAGGAAGCCAUUUUGGAGGGUAAACAGAGUCUUGAGUGCUUGAGAUUAGAUUGGGAGGGACAAGAAGCUACCGACGAGAGUGAGGAGGACGAGAGUGAGGAGGCAGUGUUAGUGAUGGAAAGCCUGCAACCACAUCCAAAUCUGAAGGAGCUCUUCAUAAUUUGUUACACAGGUGUGAGAUUCCCAAAUUGGAUGAUGAAUGAUGGGUUGGAUUUGUUGCUCCCAAACCUAGUGAAAAUUCAAAUAACGUCUUGCAACAGAAGCAAAGUUCUGCCACCUUUUGCACAACUCCCUUCUCUUAAAUAUCUAGUACUUUUCGAUCUAAUUGCUGUGGAGUGCAUGAUGGAUUACCCUUCAUCAGCAAAGCCAUUCUUCCCAUCUCUGAAGACACUCCAACUUUCUCUUUUGCCCAAUUUGAAGGGAUGGGGAAUGAGGGAUGUAGCAGCAGAGCAAGCUCCUUCAUAUCCUUAUCUUGAGGAUCUACUGCUGAACAACACCACUGUGGAGCUAUGCUUACAUUUGAUCUCUGCCUCUUCUUCAUUGAAGUCUCUGUCUAUUAGAUGCAUAAAUGAUCUGAUAUCUCUGCCAGAGGGGCUUCAACAUCUUUCCACCCUACAAACUCUCAAAAUUGAGCAUUGCUAUGGUUUGGCAACUUUACCAGACUGGAUUGGCAGCCUCACAUCACUUUCAAACCUUUCCAUUGAAUGCUGCCCUGAGUUGAGAUCACUACCAGAAGAGAUGCGAUCCCUCCGCCAUCUACACACACUUGAAAUCUAUAGAUGUCCAUACUUAUAUGAAAGAUGCCAAAAGGAAACUGGUGAAGAUUGGCCUAAGAUUUCUCAUAUUCCCGAAAUUAUCAAUCGGGGAUGGUGAAGCAGAUAUGUGAAGCUUGCCUUGUCUCUUUAAUGAAUGCGUCAUCCACAACAAAUUUCGGUAUGCAAUCCAAUUUCUAGUUGUUUGCUGUGCUUUUUGUUAUUUGUUCGCACUUCACCUGUUACAUAAAAUGCUUAGCUUACCAAAAUGCCCUGUUACUCGGUGUUUGCAGUUUACACAUUUGCAUUUUACUGCCGUCGAAAUUGUUGUCAUCUCACUUCUCUCAAAUAUUAUAUAAAUUUCAGAAUAUAAUACUUGAAACUGUUGCAAUACUGAUUAUUUAAUGCUUGGAAUGCCUUCAAAAAUUGCAACCAUCAUGCCCCUAGAUGGCCACCCAAGAAAACUAAAGCUCAGGAAACUCAGCCGGGAAUUUAUAUUAAUCAGAACUAGGCUCUUAUAUGGAUUUGCUUGUAGUGUUUAACAAUGUUUGGGUUAGAACUUAAAGAAGUGUAGCUCCAUAUUCCUUGAUGGACACGUUAAUGUAUUGAGGUCAACCCCCACCACAUGUUGAAUUGAUAGGUAGUGUGAAGAAGACCAUUGAUGUAUAUAGGUGUAGAGUAAGGUGUUUUUUCCAUAGGGACUGCCACAAGCAAUUUAAUUUCUUUUUUUUUUUUUUGAAUGUUGAUUCUUAUAAGAUAGAACCAAAAGCAUAAAAUAAAAUCUAAUGCUUAUUUAGAGUUUUUUUGUAAUAUAAACAAGUGCCUAUCGCAAAGAAAGAACAUAGCAUAUUUUUGUGCAAUUUUAAAUUAUUCAUCGUACUAUGUGUUUCCAAUCCAAUUUGUAUGGUUGUUUUUGCAGGGUUUAUGUUUUGUUAUUUUACAAUUUAUCUAGCUCUUUAGAACCUUAUAGAUUAUGUUUUGCUAAUUUCGAUAUGUAAUGGCAUAUGUGAGGGAAAAGGUUUUUCAAUUUGUUUUCCUUCACUUUGUUGCAUGUCUAUGUUCUUUUACUCAUGAAUACAAUUGGGACUGUAAAUGUCAUGUUCGGUUUUCUUGUAGUUAUUUAGAAUAUUACUUGGGAUGUGCAUAUAAUACUUUCUUAUUAUGGAAGUCUUUGCCCUGGUUAUAAAUUAUGAUUUGAUUUUAUAUUUUUGGAUUGAACAAUGCUUGUAAUUCUUUUCGCUAUUCUAAUUUCUUGAUGAUUCAUUCUAUUAAGCCAACACCCUUUAAUAUUCCUUAAAAAAAUGUUGACAGGUGGAGGAUAACCGAUGCAUAUGGAAUGAGUUAGCUCACUUACAUCACAUUCCCAACCUAUACCCUUUUUAGCAUGUUGUCCAUACUUUGUCUCCACUAUUCAGGUUUAGAAUUGACUCCUCUCCUUUUGCUCUGAAUUGUUUACCCCUUUCAUUCAUUUACUAAAAUUUUUUGUACUUCUAGUCUUCUUAUGAUGUUUUGAUCUUUUUUUUUUUUAACUCUUAUUUGAAGUAGAACAACAAUAUACCACUUGAGCAAGGAAGGAGCACAUAUUAUUGAAUCCAUGUGGUAAGUGGUUAAUUCUCGUCUCUCAAGUUUCUUGAUCGUGGGAAUCUAAAUGCUUUGGGGUGCAUGGAUAACAAUAGCGACAUAUCUCCCUCAUUUUCAUUGAGAGGCAAGUUGGUUUGAGGGGAGUAUAAAAUAAGGAGAACUAGCAGGACCAUUCUUCCCAUUCCUGCCAUGAUGGAGGAAAAGAGAUGGUGGAGGGAUAGUAUCAAUAUCACUAGCAAAACAACAAAUUUGAAGGGAUUACCCAUCAUCAGCAAAGCCAUUAUUCCCAUGUCUGAGGACACUCCAACUUUUUUAUUUGCCCAAUUUGGAGGGAUGGGGAAGGAGGGAUGUAGCAGCAGAGCAAGCUCCUUCAUAUCCUUAUCUUGAGGAUCUACAGCUGGGCAACACCACUGUGGAGCUACGCUUACAUUUGAUCUCUGUCUCUUCUUCAUUGAAGUCUCUGUCUAUUAGACGCAUAAAUGAUCCGAUAUCUCUGCCAGAGGGGCUUCAACAUGUUUCCACCCGACAAACUCUCACAAUUGAAUAUAUCUCUGGUUUGGUCACUUUACCACACUGGAUCGGCCGCCUCACAUCACUUUCAAAGCUUCGCAUUGAACACUGCCAUAAUUUGUUAUUUCUGCCAGCAGAGAUGCGAUCCCUCCGCCAUCUACACACACUCGAAAUUUGUGGUUGUGCACACUUAUAUAGAAGAUACAAAUACAAAACUGGUGAAGUUUCGGCUAUGAUUUCUCAUAUUCCCGAAAUUAUUAUUUCGCGACAUUGAAGCAGGUAUGUGAAGCUUGCCUUGUCUCUUUAAUUGAAUGCGUCAUCCACAAUAAAUUUCAAGUAUGCAAUCCAAUUUCUAGUUGUUUGCUGUGUUUUUCCUUAUUUGUUCGCACUUCACCUGUUCGAUAAAAUGCUUAGGUUACCAAAAUGCCUUGUUACUCGGUGUUUGCAGUUUACAUGUUUGCAUUUUACUGCCGUCGAAAUUGUUGUCAUCUCACUUCUCUCAAAUAUUAUAUAAAUUUCAGAAUAUAAUACUUGAAACUGUUGCAAUACUGAUUAUUUAAUGCUUAUAAUGCCUUCAAAAAUUGCAACCAUCAUGCCUCUAGAUGGCCACCCAAGAAAACUAAAGCUCAGGAAACUCAGCCAGGAAUUUAUAUUAAUCAAAACUAGACUCUUUUAUGGAUAUGCUUGUAGUGUUUAACAAUGUUUGGGUUAGAACUUAAAGAAGUGUCGCUCCAUAUUCCUUGAUGGACACGUUAAUGUAUUGAGGUGAACCCCACCACAUGUUGAAUUGAUUGGUAGUGUGAAGAAGACCAUUGGUGUAUAUAGGUGUAGACUAAGGUGCUUCUUCCGUGGGGACUGCCACAAGCAAUCUAAUUUUAUUUUAUUUUUUUAUGUUGAUUCUUAUAAGAUGGCACCAAAAGCAUAAAAUAAAAUCUAAUGCUUCUUUAGAGUUUUUUGUAAUAUAAACAAGUGUCUAUCGCAAAGAAAGAACAGAGCAUAUUUCUAUGCAAUUUUAAAUUAUUCAUCUUACUAUGUGUUUGCAAUCUAAUUUGUAUGGUUGUUUUUACAGGGUUUAUUUUUUGUUAUUUUACAAUUUAUCUAGCUCUUUAGAACCUUAUAUAUUAUGUUUUGCUAAUUUCGAUAUGUAAUGGCAUAUGUGAGGGAAAAGGUUUUUCAAUUUGUUUUCCUUCACUUUGUUGCAUGCCUAUGUUCUUUUACUCAUGAAUACAAUUGGGACUGUAAAUGUCAUGUUCGGUUUUCUUGUAGUUAUUUAGAAUAUGACUUGGGAUGUGCAUAUAAUACUUUCUUAUUAUGCAAGUCUUUUCCCUAGUUAUAAAUUAUGAUUUAAUUUUAUAUUUUUGGAUUGAAACAAUGCUUGUAAUUCUUUUCACUAGUCCAAUUUCUUGAUGAUUCAUUCUAUUAAGCCAACACCCUUUAAUAUUCCUAAAAAAAAUGUUGAUAGGUUGAGGAUAACCGAUGCAUAUGGAACAAGUUAGCUCACUUACAUCACACUCCCAAUCUAUACUAUUUUUAGCAUGUUGUCCAUACUUUGUCUCCACUAUUUAGGUUUAGAAUUGACUCAUCUCCUUAUGCUUUGGAUUGUUUACCCCUUUCAUUCAUUUACUAAAAAAUGUUGUACUUCGUCUGAUUUUUUUGUUUGAUAUUUUGAUCUUUUUUUUAACUCUCAUUUAAAGUAGAACAACAAUACUCCACUUGAGCAAGGAGCACAUAUUACUGAAUCCAUGUGGCAAGUGGUUAAUUCUCGUCUCUCAAGCUUCUUGAUCAUGGGAAUCUAAAUGCUUUGGGAUGCACGGAUAACAAUAGCGGCAUAUCUCCUUCAUUUUCAUUGAAAGGCAAGUUGGUUUGAGGGGAGUAUAAAACAAGGAGAACUAGCAGGACCAUUCUUCCCAUUCCUGCCAUGAUGGAGGAAAAGAGAUGGUGGAGGGAUAGUAUCAAUAUCACUAGCAAAACAACAGUAACCAACAUUCAUUACUUCUCUGGUUUCCUCAUCUUUUUAUUUUACUUGAGCUGAAAUGCAUGCUGAUAUAUCUAUAUCUUGAUCAGGAUUUAGAUCUAUAUAACAUCUCUUCCACAAGAGGAGCCCUAAGUGCUUACCUCUCUUAAUUUGGUAAGUAUGUUGCAUUAUUGUUUGUUUGUAUAAUUCUAGAUAUCAUUUUUGAAUGAUGAUGAAAAUUUAUGUUUUUCUCUCAUUUUCUCAAAAUUGAUGACAAAUAGAUAAAAGAUUCUUGUGCUCUUUAAUUCUAUCACACCAUACAAACAUAUUUUAGGUUUGCAAAUCUACCUAUAUUCCUUUUCUAUGGGAUUUACUUUUCAUUAUUUUACAAUUUGUCCUUUAAGAAUGUUACACUUUCUUUACAGCUUUAAUUACCAGAGUCUUUGAUGCAUUUCCAAAAACACUCAUAUUAUGCAAGUCCUUUUCAUGGUUAUGAGUCAUGUUUGUAAUUCUUGACUGGAUUUUAUUGGACAAAUUUAUUGCAGAUUCAUUCUAUUGUUGACCAAUACCAAAGGGGUGAUAUUGAGGAUUGGAUGGAUGCUUUUCAACAUUCCAUAAAUAAAUAUUGACAUGUUAUUGGUACCCGAGGCAUAUGGGAAAAGUUAGCCAUUCAAUUCGAUAUUUAAGCUUUGCAUGUUGUCUAUAACAUGUCUUCAUUAUUCAGGUUUAGGACCCAUUCCUCUCUUUUUUGGUUUUGUUGGUUUAUUUUCUGUUAUUUAAUUUGCUAAAAAUUCUUAUACCUUGUCUUAUAGGAAGGGUGAAACAAGGAGAAUUAACAGGAUUAUUCUUCUCAUUUCUGCCAUGAUGGAGAAACUCAAAAAUUAGAGAAACUUAAAACAUAUGUCGAGGUGGUAGUGGCAUUACCAGAUAAACAACAGAAGCUUCAUUCUUGCCAUGUUUUCCUUUUCUUCCUAUUCUCCUUAAGCCGACAUCCAUGCCACUGCAUCUAUAUCUUAAGGAUCCACAGUACCAUCUCCUUCAUUUCCUUUCUCCUUCCUACAUCCAUUGACGUCUAUGCAUAUUGAUGGCGAUAGAGAAUCCAACAUAUGUUCCAAAAAAAGGAUUUUGGUACAUCAUUUCUCUCUUAAAUUUUGACAUGCCAUUGUUUAUUUGUCCAAGUCUAGAUAUUCGAAAUGUAAAUGCUAAUGGUGGUGAAAUCUUAUGUCUUAGGGAAUUUCAGCAAGUUAAAGAUUUUUUAUGUGAAUGUAGGAAUCAAUUCUAAGAACUCGAGAGGUAGCAUCCAAUAUGUAUUCACCUUACUACAGCAAAGAAUCUAACACUUUGGGUAAGUGUUCAUUCUUUAACUUAGGAAAAAUAGAUGGUAAGUCACCUCACUAAGCUUCUUGUUAUUCAUUGUCAAGCUUGAAAUCACUACUAGAGGGAUGUCAAAAGGAAGCAUGUGCAGAUUGAUCCUAUGGCUUAUCAUGUCCCAAGAAUUCAUAUCUACCAGUCUCAAAUAGCUAAUGCACAAAGGACCUAUUCUCUGUUUACAAUUCGGGUGCACUAUCUGCAAUGCUUGUUCUAAGGUUUGCUAUGCCAACUUUUUUUCCUUCUUUUGAUGGCUACUUUAUUUCUUAUUUUACAUUCAAUUUGUUCCAAUUCUUAUUUUAUAAGUUAUGUAUUGUUGGUGCAUAUGGAAUGAGUAAAUUCACUUGCAUCAUUAUGUCUCUAUUAUUCAGGUAUGUCACUCCACUUCCUCUUCCCACCUCAAAACUCUUUAUAGCUUAGUUCUUCACUACAAAUUUCGUAAGAACUAUAAAAGCUCAAAUUCAACUAUUGUAUUUUAGUUGUUCAAAGCAAUAAAACAGCAAACAACAACUAGUUGAGUGAGCGGCUCGUACUACCGACUUGAAGUGCUUGAUUCAAUUUAUUGUUAGGUGCCUAAACAAGCCUUUAUAUAUAAUUCUUAACUGAAAAUGAGUAAUAUGAUGUUUAGUGUGGAUGUCCUCUUCUAUGACACGAGAGUAAUAAUUUCUUGUUGUUUUGCCCUUCUUUUGUUAGGAGGAAUUAUAUUGCCUAUUGCUAAGGGAAGAAGUUGCUAGAAUCUAAUACUGUGAAAGUGUAAAUUUUGGAGUUUCUUUGUAAUUGCAUUGUAAGAUCAUCUAAUCUCUAAGUGAAAAAACUCUUGGCUACAAUUGAAGCAUUCCAUUAUGUACAUAAUGUUGUUAGCUUUAUUGAUUUGGCAGGCUUAUUUCCCAAGUCUUGUAAUCAAGUUGUUGGUUCCAAUAUCGUUGAACAUUCAUGACAUAUAGAUCUUCUAAUUUGCAAGCUCCUAUGACAUCUGUCAAACUCAACAAAGGUUCAUUCGUAUCUCAAAAAUUGUUAUAGAUUCUACUUUUUAUGCAAUAGAUUUCAAAAAAUUAAUUCUUGUAUGAUUUUUUGUAGGAAAAAAGAUUGAGCUACAUAUUUGACCUCAAAGCAGAGAGAGUUAAUCAUUUUGAUGAGGUACAUAUGGUAAGCCUUCAUCAACAACUGUCACAUUGUUCUUUAUGAUAAUUUGUGUUUUCUUUUAGUUCAUUCUUAUACAAUUCCUUUAAUAUCGAAAUUAAAAAACAAAGUACAUAAUUUAUUGAGUUGGCUGUUGUAACAUAUAGUUAUGACAUUAUUCAUGUUCCAAAAUAAUGGAAAGCCAAUCCAAGAUGAUUGAUCUAUAUGUUCAAGAUGCUUGAAAGGAGUGUCAUGAGUCUUUUUAUGGUACCAUUUGCAUAUUAGUGUAAGAGUUAUUAUUCUUAAACUAACUUUUUUCUUCUUUUUUUAUUUUUGCGGAAUUAUAGGUGAGAAUCAAGUUUAAUCGAACUAUCCUUGGGACUGAUUUUUACUGGAAGAUAACCUCAUAUUUCAUAAUGUCAUUCAUUGUUGGCAUACAAAAGCUCAAUCAUUAAACAACUUAUGAAAUAAAAGGGUGGUCGAUUAAGAGAGGAAGAAUGGAUUCAAAAGUUGAUCUCCACUUCCCACGCUUUUGAAGGCUUCAAUCAUGACUCAAAGAACAAGUUGGUUUAUUUAAAGGUUUUGGAAUCUCCUUGCAUGUUGUGGAAGUGUAUUUAGCUUCUAAAUAAAAGUAGAAUUCAAAUCCAGUAUCAACUUUCAAUUACUACAAAUUGCCACUCAAAUCUCCUUACAACCUUUCUAUUAGUUGUUUCUUUAUGCUUCUUCAAUGAUACUAUUAACAUUAUUUUAUGUUACUUUUGAUGGAAUCAUUUUCUAAUAUUUGUCUAUUUGGAUAUUGUAAUUUUUGGAUGAAACAUGAGUUGUUUCUUCUACUCUUCUACUCUAUUGUACUUCAUCUUUCUUACAUGGGCAUGCCCAAGAUUCUUGUGAAUCAUGUAAAUUUAGUGAUUGUUGCUUAUAUUUGAUAUUAAGAUUUGUUUAUAAUUCUUUUUUUAAUAUUUAUUUUAUUUACUUUCUAAUACUUUGUUUUUAUUGGGGGCUUCUCUCAGGUUUGUGAUCAAAGUGAGAUGCAUGAAAUUUUAAAAUCCAAAUUAGGAAAGAAAUCAGUCUUCUAUAAUAUAUAUUGCAAUGAGAAACUAUGUUCUUUAAAGCUUUGGUACAACAUUAUUUUUUUCAAGGAAAAUUUUGAAAUUUUGUGUUUUAGAACUUAUUUUUAGAAAAUGUGAAAAACAUAAUAAAAAUGUUUGGACUAUAAUUCAAGAGGGUUGUAGUUAAUCUAAGUCUAACUUAAUCUCUUUUUUUAAAAAAAAAAAUAGGUUUAUCAAGUUGUCCAGGGUAAAAAUCUACAUUUUUUUUAACUUUAUUUAAUAUAUUUAUAUUAAAAUUAAAAUAAUUAAUGAGACUAUUUCAAGAUAAUAAUUAAAAAAUUAAAAAAUAAAUUUAUAUGUCUUUUUAGAAAAAUGAGAUAAGAGUAAUUACAAUUUAAUAUUUUUUUCCUAUAAAAUUAAAAAAUAAAUCAAAUGAAUAUUAUUAGUGUUGAGUUAUGUAAAACCUAAUUAUACCAUACACUUUCACCAUAACAAUGACCAACCUUCGUGGUGCUAAGGUUAGUGAGUGUGGGGGUUCCAGACAUAAACCCCAAUAGGUUGAGAUUAGGUUGUGGCCACAUGGAAAAUUGUAUAGUAUCAUUAGGUUACACUCAAUUUAAUAAACCUAAUCUUAUUUUUCUAAACUUAGGUUGAAAUUAAAUUAGUUAGAAUAUAUUCAAGGUGGUCGAAUUAAUUAAGUCAUGUAAUUCGUAAUCCAUUCAUAAUGUUUUUUUUCUUAUAUAUUUAUACCAAAAUCUAAAUAGUAAGUUGGAUACAAUUACGAUCCAAUAACAAAAAUGUAAAAAGAAAUUUAUAUAUCCUUAUAAAAAAUUAAAAAGUUAUAUAAUAGAAUUAUAAUUUGAUAUUUUUUUUCUUAAAAAUAAAAAAGAGAAUAAAUAAAAUGAACACUUUUAAUGUAAGAUUAUAUAAAUUAUAAAUAAUAUAAAAUUAUUAAAUUAGAUUCAUCAUCCAAACCUUAGUAUGAGUGUAACUCAAAUUAAGUUCAAAUCGAAAAAAACUUUACCUAAACUCAACAACUUUAAAAAUGAUUAUCUGCACCCGUCUAAAAGUAGGAUUUUUUUAGAGUCCUAUUUCUCUAUUUUUAACUUAAUUUUAUUUUUUUUCAACGGAAUUAUAGAUAAGGAUCAAGUUUAAUCAAACUAUCCUUGGGAUUGGCUUUUACUGGAAAACAACCUCAUACUUCAUAAUGGCAUUCAUUGUUGACACACAAAAGCUUAAUCAUUAAACAAUUUAUGAAAUAAGAGAAUGGUUGAUUAAAAGAUGAAGAAUGGAUUCAAAAAUUGAUCUCCACUUCUGGCACUUUUGGAAGCUUCAAUCAUGCCUCAACGAACCAUUUGGUUUAUUUAAAGCUUUUGGAAUCUCCUUGCAUGUUGUGGAAGUGUAUUUAGCUUCUAAAUAGAAGUAGAAUUCAAAUCCAGUAUCAACUUUCAAUUACUACAAAUUGCCACUCAAAUCUCCUUACAACAUUUCUAUUAGUUGUUCUUUUAUGUUUCUUCAAUGAUACAAUUAGCAUAAUUUUAUGUUACUUUGAUGGAAUCAUUUUCUAAUAUUUGUCUAUUUGGAGAUUGUAAUUUUUGGAUGAAACUUGAAUCUUUUCUUCUAUUCUUCUACUCUAUUGUACUUCAUCUUUCUUACAUGCAUGCCCAAGAUUCUUGAAAAUCAUGUCAAUUUAGUGUUUGUUGUUUGUAUUUGAUAUUAAUAUUUGUUUAAAAUUCUUGUUUUUAAUAUUUAUUUUCUAAUACUUGGUUUGUUUUUGUUUUUAUAAGGGGCUUCUCUCAUGUUUGUGAUCAAAGUGAGAUGUAUGAAUUUGAAAAUCCAAAUUAGAAAAGAAAAUCAAUCUUCUACAAUAUAUAUAGCAAUGAGAAACUAUUUUCUUUAAGGGAGAAUUAUGUUUUGGGGGUAGAUGGACCCCCAAAUUAACAAAAGGUCCAUGUAACUCUUCAAAUUGAGCCCAAGACCCAAUGAAAGUAUGGAAAUUGAGUUGAAGGAUAUCAUCCUUCAGUAUUUCCAAAAAUACCAUUUGUUAAUUUUGAGAAAAAAAAUUAAUAUUUUUUAAAAAUACUUUUAUUUAAUUUAAUAUUUUUUAUUUAAUUUAAUAUUUUUAAAAAAUACUUUUAUGUAAUUUAAUAUUUUUUAAAAUAAUUUUAUUUAAUUUAAUAUUUUUAAAAAAAAAUUUAAUUUAAUAUUUUUGAAAAAAAAUUAUUUAAUUUAAUAUUUUUGAAAACUACUUUUAUUUAAUUUAGUAUUUUUGAAAAAAAAAUUAUUGAAAAAAAAUUAUUUAACUUAAUUUUAUAAAAUAUUUUAUAUGUGUUCUUAAAGGGUAUAUUUGUCCGUUACUAUUUCAUAUCCUUCAACUCAAUUUGAAGAGUUAUAUGGGCAUUUUGUUAAUUUGGAGGUCCAUCUACCCCCAAAAAUAAUUCUCCCUUUCUUUAAAGCUUUGGUACAACACUUUCUUUUUUUUUGGAAAUUUUUUAAAUUUAGUGUUUUAGAACUUAUUUUUAGAAAAUGUAAAAAAACAUAGUAAAAAUGUUAGGGCUAUAAUUUGAUAGGGUUAUAGUCAAUCUAAGUCUAAUUCAAUCGCAUUUUUUUAAAACAAGUUUAUCAAGUUGUUAGCAAUGAAAAUCUACAUUCUUUUUUAACUUUAUUUGAUAUAUUUAUGUUAAAAUUUAAAUAAUUAAUGAGACUAUUUCAAGAUAAUAAUUAAACAUAAAAAAUAAAUUUUUAUAUCUUUCUAGAAAAAUGAAAUAAAGUAAUUAUAAUUUAAUAUUUUUUCCUUAUUAUUAAAUAAAUUAAUUAAUUAAAUAUUAUUAGUGUUGAGUUAUGUGAAGCCUAAUUAUACUACACACUUUUCACCAUAACAAUCGACUGACCUUCAUGGUGUUAAGGUCGACAUGUGUGGGGGUUUGAGGCAUAAGCCCCAAAAGAUUGAGAUUAGGUUGUAAUAGUAGAGAAAAGUUUAUAGUAUGAUUAGGCUCCACAUAAUUUAACAUAAUCUAAUUUUAUUUUUCUAAACUUAGGUUAAGAUUAGAUUGGUUGGAUUAUAUUUGGUUUGGUCAAAUUGAUCGAGUCUUAUAAUUCAUAAUCCAUUAGCAAUGGUUUUUUAUUUAUUAAUUUUUGUUUAUUUAUACCAAAAUAUAAAUUGUAAGUUGGAUACAAUGUCAAAAUAAUAACAAAAAUGUAAAAAUAAAUUUAAAUAUCUUUAUAAAAAAAGGUUAUAUAAUAGAAUUAUAUUUGAUAUUUUUUUCUCAAAAAUAAAAAGAGAGAAUAAAUAAAAUAAAUACUUUUAAUAAUAAAUUAUUAUUAUUAUUAUUAUUAUUAUUAUUAUUAUUAUUACAAACUUAAUUCAAUUGCACUCAACAUGAUUAAGCCUUUUUAUUUUCAUUUUUUAAAAUAAUAAAUCGUUUUCACUUUAAUUUUCAAGCAAAGAUUACAAAAUUUGAACACCAUUAUAAGCAAUUUUUAUUUAACCCUUCAAUAAGAAAGAAAAUUAAUCUAACAAUUUUUAAGAAAGCUUAUUUAUGAACUUCUCAAAUUAAUUUUUAUUAUAUUCUUCUUCCAAUCUAAACCAGCUAAUAGAUGCCCUUUUAUCCAUAUAAUAUUUUACAUGAGAUGUUCUUCUUGAUGCUGAGGAGCAGCAGGGCCAAAGCCAUGAAUUGCAGCAAGGAGGAAUAGCAAGGCAGGUAGGUGACUUUAUUGUGGGUAUUGGGGGGUUUAGGCAAGACCACCCUGAUGCAUGAAAUUUUAAAAUAGAAAUUAGGCAAGAAAAUUUAGUCUCCGGCAAUAUAUAUAGCAAUGAGACACAUAGAUGGUUGUCUGGGGUUUCUGGUUUGUAGAGAGAGAAAGGGAGGUUUAUAGAGAGAGAAGAUCGACUAGGUUGGGGUUUGAAAUUGAAUUUUGGGCAGGAUCCAAAACAGAUGGUAGAGAUUGGAUCCUGGGGAUCUGACAAUGGAGUUUGGAGUUUGAAUUUGUCAUAGGCUAUAACACACUGGCAAUGUUAAAGCCCAAAUUUAAUGGGCUGGGAUAUGUACUUCUCACUUUUGGGCUUUGGUCCAACAGCCCAACUUCUUUUAUUUUUUAAAAAUUAAUUAAAUACGUGAUUAAACAUAUCCUUUUUUUUUUUUAUCUAUUUGAUUAAUGGGAUAUAAUAUAAUUCAUGGUUUGGGAUCUUUGGUGCUUAUCAAAUUUUGUUCUUGGAUUUUUUUUAAAGUGGGACAAGUAAGUACAUACUUUUUACUUGAGGGGUAACUAGCAACUUUUCCAUAAUUAAAUUUUACAUGACUAUAAUAUAUUUAUUGGAAAUAAUUUUUUCUCCCUAAAAUUUUUUAUUUAAUUGCUACAAAAUAAUUUUAAUUAUUGAAAUUAUUUUAUUGUUACUCUAAUUAAAUUACGGUGGGCUUUGGGUUUGGGUUUUGGACAAACCUAAGGCCAACUUAAACCUAAUAUAUAUUUUACAUAAAUUUCAAACUAUACGUAUAUGAUAGUUUUGUUAUUUUGAGUGUCAUAAGGGAAUGAUAAGAAGCUGAGCUUGAAUUGGAUAGCUUGGAUUGGAUUCGACAAAUGAUAAGAAGUCGAGAUUCACUUUCUUUUCCUUUUUCUAAUAUAUUUCUUUCACUUUUCCUUUUUAGUUUUUUUAAUAAAAUUUCAUCCUACCCCACUUUCAAAAAUAAAAAGUUAAAAAAUGACUGGCUUGAGACUGUUCAAAAUCUAAUUUUUUUUUUUUAAAGGUGAGGAAGAUGAGUUAUGCUUUCUUUGUACAAGCCCACUCUUCACGUAGUUCCUUUUAUGAUAUACUAUCUAAUACUUUUUUCAUUAGUUUCCAUCUCCAUUAUCUUAAAAAUUCAAAUACAAAUUAUCAAAUUUACAAAAGGUAUAAACAAUUGUGAAAUAAUAAGAUGUUACCAAUGCUACAACAAUAUCCACAAUGAUAAUACUUCGAGUACUAUAAAUUUAUUAGCUUUAAUUUUUUUGUUCUUUUUAAUUUGUAAAGAAAUGCGGUGAUAUUAUACAAGUCUUUUUGUAAGGUGACUAAGGUUUUUCACACAUGAAACUAUACCAUAAAUGUAUAAACUAUUUAAAUAUAAAAAUUAAGGAUUAUGUUAAGUUCUUGGAUAUUACUAAGAAAUUGACAAAAAAAAAAUAGUUAGAAAAAUGAUUAAUUUUUUUAUAUCUGCAUGUUAUAGAAAAAUAUGAUGAAAACAUAUUAAGAAAAAUAGGAGAAAAUUGCUAAAAGUUUUCCCGACCUUUUUCCUUAUAUAAAGGUGAGUAAAACUUGAUGAAAGUGUAUUUCUUAAAAUUUUAAUUUUUUAUUUUUCUCUCAACUUUUUCAUGAAUAUGUUAUUAACAUAAAAAAAAAUAUAGUAAAAGGAAAAUAUGAUUUUACAAAAUUUAUCCAAAGUAAAAAAAUAAACGAUGCAUAAUAAUUUUCUUUUUUCCUGGCUUUAUUCUUACAAUUUACUUUUGAUGGAAGUAAAUUAUUUUGCGUCAACUCAAAUUCAGCCUUUUCAAAAAGUAAUGGGAAUCCAAUGAAUUUUUUCAAAUUCAUUUUAAUUUAUGACCCACCAUGUGAAGGAGUAAUCAUUUUCUAGGUGAUAGGAUUCCAAAUCAAUUAUUUCAAAUUCACAUUGCUUUAUAGCCCACUUUUUCAAAAGUUGCUAUCAUCAUUUCCUUGCAGGCUCUUUGCCCUGUCUCCCACUAAUUCCUUGGGAAAGAACAAGACUUCUUUCUUCCAAGCAUGCAAAUUCCAAAAUGAUAUUAUCUACUAUUUUAAAUCUAAGAACCCUACCUAUAUAUAUGUGAUGGGAUCCACUACUUUUCAAGCAGGCUCCCAACUUCCAUGGAAACUCUAGGGCCUCUCGACAUCUUUCUAUACAUUUAUUUAUUUUUUAAAACUAUUAUUUUCAUAACAUUGCUUUAAAGAAGUUGUUUUUUUUUCCAUAUUUUUCUAAAAUAAUAGUAAAAAAGUUUUGAUAUACUAUCUAAUACUUUUUUCAUUAGUUUCCAUCUCCACUAUCUUAAAAAUUCAAAUACAAAUUAUCAAAUUUACAAAAGGUAUAAACAAUUGUGAAAUAAUAUGUUACCAAUAUCCACAAUGAUAAUACUUCAAGUACUAUAAAUUUAUUAGCUUUGAUUUUUUUUCUUUUUAAUUUGUAAAUAAAUGUGGUGAUAUUAUACAAGUCUUUUUGUAACGCGACCCCCUUCUCGCGGUUAAGGUAACGACUUCGGGCAUGGCCAGCUCCCAUAGUGUGACGGGCGGUGUGUACAAGGCCCGGGAACGAAUUCACCGUUGUAUGGCUGAUCGACGAUUACUAGCAAUUCCGGCUUCAUGCAGGCGAGUUGCAGCCUGCAAUCCGAACUGAGGACGGGUUUGAAUUCCCGAUAGAAAGAGAUUUCGCGAACGCAAAAGCCUUUAAUGCGGCCCGUCAUCCCUUCCUUUUGGAAAGCUUUCCAUUCUUCCAAGUGAUGAAGCAAGGGAAGGCAGUAGUGGGGAAUUUUCCGCAAUGGGCGAAAGCCUGACGGAGGAAUGCCGCGUGGAGGUAGAAGGCCCACAGGUCGUGAUUAGGAUCAGAAUGACAAAUACAAUAGAUUUUAAACUAUACCAUAAAUGUAUAAACUAUUUAAAUAUAAAAAUUAAGGAUUAUGUUAAGUUCUUGGAUAUUACUAAGAAAUUGACAAAAAAAAUUGUUAGAAAAAUGAUUAAUUUUUUUAUAUCUGCAUGUUAUAGAAAAAUAUGGUGAAAACAUAUUAAGAAAAAUAGGAGAAAAUUGCUAAAAGUUUUCCUGACUUUUUUCCUUAUAUAAAGGUGAGUAAAACUUGAUGAAAGUGUAUUUCUUAAAAUUUUAAUUUUUUAUUUUUCUCUCAACUUUUUCAUGAAUAUGCUAUUAACAUAAAAAAAAAAUAUAGUAAAAGGAAAAUAUGAUUUUACAAAAUUUAUCCAAAGUAAAAAAAUAAACGGUGCAUAACAAUUUUCUUUUUUCUUGGCUUUAUUCUUAUAAUUUACUUUUGAUGGAAGUAAAUUAUUUUGGGUCAACUCAAAUUCAGCCUUUUCAAAAAGUAAUGGGAAUCCAAUGAAUUUUUUCAAAUUCAUUUUAAUUUAUAACCCACCAUGUGAAGGAGUAAUCAUUUUCUAGGUGAUAGGAUUCCAAAUCAAUUAUUUCAAAUUCACAUUGCUUUAUAGCCCACUUUUUCAAAAGUUGCUAUCAUCAUUUCCUUGCAGGCUCUUUGCCCUGUCUCCCACUAAUUCCUUUGGAAAGAACAAGACUUCUUUCUUCCAAGCAUGCAAAUUCCAAAAUGAUAUUAUCUACUAUUUUAAAUCUAAGAACCCUACCUAUAUAUAUGUGAUGGGAUCCACUACUUUUCAAGCAGGCUCCCAACUUCCAUGGAAACUCUAGGGCCUCUCGACAUCUUUUUAUACAUUUAUUUAUUUUUUAAAACUAUUAUUUUCAUAACAUUGCUUUAAAGAAGUUUUUUUUUUUCCAUAUUUUUCUAAAAUAAUAGUAAAAAAGUUUUGAAAAUUAAUUUCCUUUUUCUCACUUUUUUUUCAAUGGAUAUCUAGACAAAAGAAAUUUUUUUUAUAAAUUUUUCUUCUCCUUUUCUUUUAUUUUUAAAAUUUUUUACUUUAUUUUUAUUUUUUUCUAACUUUCUGAAAAUUGUUAUAUAAGCAGCCAAACAAGACUUCUUCCUUCCAAGCACGCAGACCAUAUUCCACAAUAAUAUGAUAUAUUAUAGGAAACUUCUAUGGUGCUGAGGGAGGUACCAUACCUCAGAUUUUUUAUAGUCGUUGGAUGCAAGAGUUUAAAUCUCAGCCAUUGAAAAGAAAAAGAAAAAAAGGAAAAAGGAAAACUGGCUACCUGUUGUCUCCCCCUCUCAGGCCAUUUUCCCGUUUGUUCCCUCUUUCCCGUUUGUUCCCUCUCUUCCCUCAUUUUCUACCUGUUCUCUCCCCCUCUUAGCCCCUCUCUCUUCUCCUCCAUAGUCGAGCGUCUUCUCCUCUAGCUGUGUCUCGUGCUCUCGUCUCCAGCUGUGUCUCGUGCUCUCAUCUCCACACUCCUCCAUAGCCGAGCGUCUUCAGCCCCUCUCUUCUCCUCCAUAGCCGAGCAUCUUCUCCUCCAGCCGUGUCUCGUGCUCUCAUCUCCAGCUGUGUCUCGUGCUCUCAUCCCCACACUCCUCCAUAGGCGGCCGUCUUGUCCUCCAUAGUCGGUUGUGUCCCCGUGCUCUGAUCUCCACUCAUUCUCGACAGCCGAGUCUAGAAAUCCUAUCUUCGGAAGAAACGCAAGAGGCAAAUGCGAGACAAUGAAGAAAUGAGGGAAAGAAAGCACUGAAGAAGGAGAUAGAGACCCCUCUCACGAUUAAUCUUCAGUCGAGUUUCUGUUUUCUCCAUUUUUUAUCGAGUUUGCCGAUAUUUUCCUCUCUUCUCCAUACUCGACUCUUCUCAGGUAUCUCCAUCGACUGUUAUUUUCAGGUGCUUUAAGUUGUCUUUGUGUAUUGUUGGAUGUUUUUGUGUUAUUGGGUGUUUUCGGGUAAGAUAUUGUAGCUGUUCCGGGGGACAUCUUUUUGAGUUCUGGCUUUUUUAGUAUCCCCUUUGAUUAUGUCCAUAUUUAGUUUUCAUAUUUGGGGUUUUUUCGGGUUUUGAAGUAAAGAGUACGAUAUUCCCGCUCCCUCCCUCCUAUCCAUAACCCUUGUAUUUUGUUCAUAUUUUAUAUUUUGUUUAAGGGGUGUUUUUGGCUUUUAAAUUUCCUGGUUUGAAGACCCGAAUUGAAGACAUAGCUGGAAGAAAAAGAAGAAAAAAUGUGAGUAUUGAUAAUGUGUUUUACAAUAUUAUAGCCAUUAUAUUUCAUGCUUUUUGUGAGAUUUAUAGAUUGAUGACAUUAAUGAAAAUAAUGUGGUUAGAUCCAUAAUUGUAGAUUGAAAAAGAUUGAUAUGCUAAAUUUGUGACCAUUUAAAAUGUACAUAGAUUUAGGGAAGAUUUUGUAGUGGUGGUGAAAGUAUGUUUGAUUUAUUAUAUUUGAAAUCAUAUUAUAAAAAUUGACUUAAAUGCUUUGAUUUAAUUUUUAGGAGCGAACGCGAUGGACUUGAAGUUGUUAGAAAUCCAAAGAGGCCUAUCGGCGCUUGGAUACAUUACUAGUAAGGGAAAAUAGAAAUAUGUAAAAUAAUAUGUUUUUUAAUGUAUUUUUUGUGGUUGUUAUUGUUAAAUUUGUUUGAAAUUGUUUUGUAGUAAUGAUCAAUUAGCCAUGAUGAAAGAGAAGGAUAAAGGAGUGAAGAUAAAUGAUGAUGUAAGGAGUAAUUUUGCUAGUCUAAUAUAAUUACAUUUUAAAAUUAGAAUUUAAAUUAUGUGACCAAUUAAUGUAGUUGAGGAAAAAAUUGGGCAAGAAGUGGAAUGCACUUUCAAAAGUAGAAAAAGAAAAUUUCAUGGCAAAGUCCAAAGAAAGUUCAAAACAAUAUUCACUUCAAAAGGGUGUAGUUCCAAAGGUAAUUUUUUUUUGUAAUGAAUAUUUAAUUUCUUUACUUAUGUAUUUGUUGGAAAUUAUAUUAAUGUAAACAUGUUUGAUGUUUGUGUAUCUUUUCAGUUAUAUCUUCAGACUCGAUGCUCCCCCGAGCGAGUUAUUAGAGUGAUUGAAAAUUUAGAACCAAAGCAAAAGGCAGCCAUAGAAGAAAUAGGAUUUGGUAGCCUCUUGCAACUUCGAUGUAGGAAAAUUGAUCAUGGGUUAUGUCUUUGGUUGAUAAAUAGUUUUAAUCCGAACACUUAUAUGUUACAGUUGUAUAAUACUUGUAUCAAAUUAUCCCCCAUUGAUGUUGAAUUCAUUAUGGGAUUGAGGGCAAGAGGGUUCAAGAUUGGCAUGAACAAAGAUGUUGGUCAUAAGAAUGAUUUAUGUAAAAAAUAUUGUGAUAAAAAAGGGCGAUUGCCAUUAGUGAUGUUAGAAAAUCAAAUUAGGGAGGAUAAAGAGGGUGGAAACGAUUUUAAAGUUCGUUUUGUAUUAUUUGUGUUGGGUGCAUUAUUGUGCCCAACAAUGAAGCUUUUUGUGAAUCGCUCUUUCUUACAUCUUGUGGAAGACAUCGAUUAAUUAAAGAAGAUGAAUUGGGCAGAAUUUGUGUUGUCCUAUCUUGUGCACGGGAUUGAAGAGUUUAAGAAGAAACAACAAAGUGGGGUUUACGGUUGCUUAUUGUUUUUAAUGGUAAUUAAUUUACAUCAUAGUGAAUUACGAUUUUGUUUUAAUAUAAUUUAUGAACUAACUAUAUAUCUAUGUCAAAUAUACUCGUAGUUAUUCUACCACGAGCAUAUAUCGUUUGAAGAGAAAUUUCUACCGCUAUAUACUUGACUUUCUCCUCGGAUUACUGCUUGGGGAGAUGAUGAAGUAUUGGACAGGAAACGAAGAUUGAAAAAACUUAGUGGAUAUGCAAAUGAGAAUGUAAGUUAUAGUUUUGAAAGUCGUUUGCUAUUGAUUUAAGUUUUUAGUGAUUUAAAAUCUGAUAUGUAUUAUAUUUUGAUGAAUAUAUUGUAGCUCAAAAUAUGGGUGAUAGAAAAUGAGAUAAGGGAUUGCGUUGAUGGAAAUGCAACGAUAAUGGCGAGUGAGAAUGAGGACGAUGAGAAAUUUGUAUCCAAUCUAAACAAAGAUGUUAUUAAACGAAUAAGUGUUUUACAAUAUUCAUCGUGACUAUCUAUAUUAGCAUUGAACCUUUGUAUUAUGAUGUUAUUAAUCACGUUCGUAUAUAUCACUAGGUUGAUGGUGGGAACUUAAUGGAGAUGGAUAAAACCUUUCAACAAUUAAAGACACAUCUAAUUGAUAUGGCGUAUGGUGCAAGUAGUCGUAGUUGUGAUCAAAUUUUGGCUAAAUUUGAGGAGAAUUAUACUACAGUGAAAGGUCUCUUCCUUAGGUCAAGCGGAAAACCUUUGAGAAUGCACGAGGAAGGAACGAAGAAUGACAUGCUCUCAUGCGAGAGAAGUUUGGAAGAUACGAACAAUAUGAAUGUGAAUGAACAUUAUCUUCACACUUUGUCAAAUGACAAGUUAUGCACCGAGGACUUGAAUGAAAGAAUGAGAUGCAUGUGCUACNNNNNNNNNNNNNNNNNNNNNNNNNNNNNNNNNNNNNNNNNNNNNNNNNNNNNNNNNNNNNNNNNNNNNNNNNNNNNNNNNNNNNNNNNNNNNNNNNNNNNNNNNNNNNNNNNNNNNNNNNAAUACUAAAAAAUUCACAAGGGUACGAAGAAUGUGAGGAAUCCUCACAUUCUUCGUACACUCCCAAAUCUCCAUUUCUUUGGACUUUUUAAAAUUUUUUGGGGCUUCAUAUGGCUUGGAUGUUGCUUGAAUAGGUCCGUUACACUUAGAAGGUGGUCAAAUGAUAUCCGAAAAAAUCGAAAUCCAAAAAUACUAAAAAAUUCCCUCACAUUCUUCGUACCCUCCCAAAUCUCCAUUUAUUUGGACUUUUUAAAAUUUUUUGGUGCUUCAUAUAAUAGGUCCGUUACACUUAGAAGGUGGUCAAAUGAUAUCCGGAAAAAUCAAAAUCCAAAAAUACUAAAAAAUUCACGAGGGUACGAAGAAUGUGAGGAUUCCUCACAUUCUUCGUACCCUCCCAAUCUCCAUUUCUUUGGACUUUUUAAAAUUUUUUGGGGCUUCAUAUGGCUUGGAUGUUGCUUGAAUAGGUCCAUUACACUUAGAAGGUGGUCAAAUGAUAUCCGGAAAAAUCAAAAUCCAAAAAUACUAAAAAAUUCACAAGGGUACGAAGAAUGUGAGGAAUCCUUACAUUCUUCGUACCCUCCCAAAUUUCCACUUCUUUCGACUUUUUAAAAUUUUUUGCGCCAUCAUAUGGCUUGAAUGUUGCUUGAAUAGGUCCGUUACACGUAGAAGGUGGUCAAAUGAUAUCCGUAAAAAUCAAAAUGGAAAAAUACUAAAAAAUUCACAAGGGUACGAAGAAUGUGAGGAAUCCUCACAUUCUUCGUACCCUCCCAAAUCUCCACUUCUUUGGACUUGUUAAAAUUUUUUGGGCCAUCAUAUGGCUUGAAUGUUGCUUGAAUAGGUCCGUUACACUUAGAAGGUGGUCAAUGACAUCCGGAAAAAUCGAAAUCGAAAAUACUAAAAAAUUCACAAGGGUACAAAGAAUGUGAGGAAUCCUCACAUUCUUCGUACCCUCCCAAUCUCNCUUCUUUGGACUUUUAAAUUUUUUGGACAUCAUAUGGUUGGAUGUUGCUUGAAUAGGUCCGUUACACUUAGAAGGUGGUCAAAUGAUAUCCGGAAAAAUCAAAAUCCAAAAAUACUAAAAAAAUUCAAAAGGAUACAAAGAAUGUGAGGAAUCCUCACAUUCUUCAUACCCUCCAAAAUCUCCAUUUCUUUGGACUUUUUAANNNNNNNNNNNNNNNNNNNNNNNNNNNNNNNNNNNNNNNNNNNNNNNNNNNNNNNNNNNNNNNNNNNNNNNNNNNNNNNNNNNNNNNNNNNNNNNNNNNNUCAAAUGAUAUCCGGAAAAAUCGAAAUCCAAAAAUACUAAAAAAUUCACAAGGGUACGAAGAAUGUGAGGAAUCCUCACAUUCUUCGUACCCUCCCAAAUCUCCACUUCUUUGGACUUUUUAAAAUUUCUUGGGCCAUCAUAUGGCUUGGAUGUGUGCUUGAAUAGGUCUGUUACACUUAGAAGGUGGUCAAAUGAUAUCCGGAAAAAUCGAAAUCCAAAAAUACUAAAAAAUUCACAAAGGUACGAAGAAUGUGAGGAAUCCUCACAUUCUUCGUACCCUCCCAAAUCUCCACUUCUUUGGACUUUUUAAAAUUUUUUGGGUCAUCAUAUGGCUUGGAUGUUGCUUGAAUAGGUUGAUUCCACUUAGGCGGUGUUCGAAUAAGUCCCGAAAAAUUAAAAGCUAAAAAUACUAAAAAAUUAGAAAAGGUCCGAAGAAUGUGAGGAUUCCUCACAUUCUUCGUACCGUCCCAAAUCUUCACUUAUUUGAAGUUUUAAAAAUUUUGUUGGACUUCAUAUGCCUUGGAUAUUGUCUAAAUAGGUUGAGUCCACUUAGGUGGUGUUCGAAUGAGUCCUGGUAAAAUUAAAAGCCAAAAAUAUUAAAAAAUUAGAUAAGGUACACAGAAUGUGAGGAAUCCUCACAUUCUUCAUACUCUCCCAAAUCUCCACUUCUUUGAAGUUUUAAAAUUUUUUUGGACUUCAUUUGCCUUGGAUAUUGUUUAAAUAGGUUGAUUCCACUUAGGCGGUGUUUGAAUGAGUCCUGGAAAAAUCCAAAUCCAAAAAUAUUAUAAAAUUGGACGGGGUACGAAGACUGUAAGAAAUCCUCACCAUUUUCCGCUUGUAUGAGGGUGUGAAAUGGAUUCUUCAAAAUUCAAAAUGGAAAUAUACGAAAAAAUAUUGUGAGGCGUUUUGAUUUCCAUAUGGUUAGUAAUUAUACAUUUUUCGUAUUUUCAAUAUUUCAAUUAAUUUUUUUGUGUAAUUCAAUUUAAACGCUAAGAAAUAAUUUGGUCAUAUAUUAUCAAUUAAUAAUUAGUACACAAUUAAUUUAAUAUAAAUUUAAUAUUUAUAUUUUAUAUCAUUUAUUUAUAUUUUUUCUUUUUUUUUCACUUCAUAAACAAAUUAUAUUGCUUUUCACACUUCAAAUAUUUUUCAAAUUUUGUCAACAAAUUAUUUGAUGUUAAAAUAAAGUAUAUUUACUUUUCCUUAAUUUAUAAAUUUUAUCACCAAAUUAGUUUGAAUUUUUUUUAUUUAAAAUUUAAUUUUUAUCUUGGGUUUAAUCACUUUAUAUUACAAAAAAAAAUGCUAUUUAUUUUUUCAAAUUUCUCUUUAUUUUUCUGUUGCACAAAAAAAAUUCCCCAAACAAAAUAAUUACAUUAAACAGGAAUUUAUAAUUGGUUGUUGUAAUGGAUGUAAAAAUGUGUGUUGCAUGGGAUUAAUUCCCAUGGCAACCGGUUACCAACCUGAAGAAUUGGUUUUGUAUAUUAUUUUUCCAUGCCAUGUGUCUUCAUCUUGUGAGUCCAAAAAAGUGGGUAUGGUACCGAAAAACCACUUUUCGGUACCCUAGCAUAACCCUAUAUUAUAUAAGCAAGCAUGCAGACCAUGUUCCACAAUAAUAUCAUAUAUUAUAUAAGCAGCCAAACAAGACUUCUUCCUUCCAAGCAUGCAGACCAUAUUCCGCAAUAAUAUCAUAUAUUAUAUAAGCAGCCAAACAAGACUUCUUCCUUCCAAGCAAGCAAACCAUAUUCGACAAUAAUAGUUAAUAUUAUAUAAGCAUAAGUUCUUCUAUGUUUCCUUCUUCAUUGACGAGGUUGACAUGAUUUUUUAUGUUUUUUGUUGAGAUUGUAAUUUUUAGAUUAAACAUGAAAUGUUUUCUUACAUUCUAUUUACUUUUCUUCACUAUUGGUAGCAAAUUUUAUUUUUCUAUCCCGAUGGAAAUACCUAAUAUUGUUAUGAAUCAUGAAAAAUCAUAUCAAUCUCAUAUUUGUUGUUUGUGCUUGAUAGUAGGAUUUUCUUAAAUUUUGCAUUUUAAAUAUUUUUUUUUGGACUUCCCUCAUGUCUAGUACCCUACUUAAAAAUAAAAUAAAAUAAAAUAAAAAUAAAAAACAAUUAUUAACUUAAAAUUCUUCCAUAUUUAACCAUUUUUAAAAUGCGAGAAUUAAGCAAAUUGAGUAAUAUUCUCUUUGUUAGUUUUUAAGUGCUAAUCAAUUGAAGGUAAUCAUUCGGAAGGGGAGUGAAGUGGGGAUGGUCACUUUUUCAAAAUUUAAUAAUUAUAAAUACACAUAAAAUAUAAAUAAUAAUAUAAUAAAUCAAUAUAAGGAUAAUUUUCAAAUAAAUAAAGUAUGGAGGGGGACAUGCAAAUACUAAUUUUUAUAAUGGUUUAGCGUAACUUGACUUACACUUAUAUUCACCCUCCUCAAAUUCCAACCGAGUGAAUAUUCAACUAAUAAGGCUUCCAACUAAGCCUUCAAACUUAACCCAAUAAGAUAUAAUAUGCAAAGAAAUAUUGAAGUAAUAAUACUAAACAAAUCUCUUUAUAAAGUAGUUAGGAUUUCACAGAUGUACUAUUCGCAAUAAUAUUAUAACAUUGUAGGAAAAAAUUAAGGGAUUUUCAAUAGAUAAUUCUCAAAAACAAAGGUGAUUAAUUGUGUUUACAAGAAAAAAAAAUUAUUAUUUCUCUUCAAAAAUGAGCUUAACAAGGGACCCUUUUUUUUUUUGUCAAAAUUAGAAUAGAGUUUGAACACAUUAUUUGAAUCAACAUCUUUCCAAAAGUCAAGAGUGAUGGAAGGCAAAACCCAUCACUUGGUUGGCUGAUUCUUACCUAAUCAAAUGAACUACUCUUAUACAUUGUUUCUAGAAAGAAGUCUAAGAAAAUGUAUGGCACAAUGCAUGUGAUGGGAUCCACCACUUCUAGAGCAAAGUCUCAACUUCCAUGUGAACUCUAAGACCUCUCAAAAUCUUUUUUUUUUUUAUUAUUAUAUUUUUAAAUUAUUAUUUUCACAACAUUAAUUGCUUUAAUAUUUAAUGUUCCUUUCUCCUCUUUUUCUUUGAUAAUAGUGAAAUAUAUAUAUGAAAGCAUGUCUUCGUCAAUAAUUUAACUUUAGUUUUUCCAUUUUUAUGGAUAUCCAAAUAAUAAAAAAAUUAUGAUUUUUUGUUUCUCUCUUUUUCCCUAUAAUUUUUUAAUUUAUUUUUAUUUUCUCUAACUUUCUGAAAACAAAAUAUAACCUAAAUUUUUAUAUAGUCAAUUUGCAGCUAUGGGCAUAUGUCUUGUUUUAGAGUUUUUUAUGACAAUAUUUAAAUUAGCCUUGAAAUUUGGAAGUUAAUCCUAAAUUUUAGGUUGCGAAAGACCACAUUUUCUAUAAGCCCAACUAAAUAGAAACACAAAAAUAAUUCAUAUAGGUUCACUCAAAUUGAAUAAAACUCAUAUUUAAAAUAAGUUGAAUAAAAAAAACUUAAAUACAAUUGUCAUCACAAUAUUACAAAAAUGAGCUUAACAAGAGACUCUAUUUUUUCUUUUUCAAAAUAAACAAAUUUAAGAAGGAGAUUUAAUGCAUUAUUUGAAUCAACAUGUUACCAAAAAUUAAAAUCAAAAAUAAAAAUACAAAGAAUAAAAAGUUAAGAGUGAUGGUACACAAAACCCCACUAUUUGAUUGGUUGGUUUCUAUCUAAUCAAAUGCAUUAUUGUUGGGAUAAAAGAACCCUACCGGUAUGUGUAACGCCCAAGUUUUCAUUUUAAAGGGUAAUUUAGGAAAUUCUUAAUAAUGAUAUUAAAUUAAUUAAUUAAUUAAUUUAAUAAAAUGGAAGAGGGGUGAAAAGGUAAUUUUACGAAUAAUACCCUAGGUAUAAAUAGAAAAUUAUCUUCUUCCUGUUCUUUUUUGAAUCAUAUUCCUGUUCGCAGAGAAUUUCUAGAGAACGUGAAGUUAAGAUCAGAUUUCAAGGUUUGAAGAACAAACCUCUAUAGGUAAGUUUCUAACCUCUAUAUUAUUAUUUUAGAUUCAUUAGUUAAUUUCAAGCACAUUAGAUAUAUUUUUUUUGGAAAACCCCAAAUCUAGAUUAGGGUUAGAUUAUUUUUUUUUUAAUUCGUUUUAAUAUUAAAUAGUGAAAAUUUAAUAUUUUGAUUUAUUAUUGGAAUUGGGGAGAUCUUAAGUUUUUUUUUAUUAGAAAAAAAGAAAAUUCCUAUGAAAAUUUCGAUUUAGAUUAGGGUUAGUUUAUUAUUAUUAUUAUUAUUAUUAUUUCGUUUUAAUAUCAAAAUAGUAAAAAUUUAAGAUUUUGAUUUAUUAUUGGAAAUUGGAAAUUCUUAAGCUUUUAGAAAAAAAAAAAAAAAAACCUGGAAGAUGCGUGUGCACACUGUAGAAUUGGAGAAUGGUUUAAGGAUUAAAAGAAAAAAAUAGAGGACGCGUGUGCUCACUGGAAUUGGAGAAUGAAAAAAAAAUAAUAUAUUAUAUAUAUGGGUGUGGGUGUGUGUACGGAUGGAGGGAUGGGUGGUGUUUGGUAGUUAAUGUACAUAUAUGUAUAUAUAUUAUUAUAUUGACAAUGGAUAAAGUUUAUGUUUAAAAAAAAAAAAAAAGAGAAUAGAAGUUUUAAAUAAAAGAAAGUAAAGUUUUUUUUGGUAUUAUAAUUAUACUAAUAAUGAGUAUAAGUUAAUAAAUAACAUAGAAAUUAAUUAGUGAAAUAAAUUAUAGUUUAAUUAAAUUAAGUUGUGUCCCAAAAAAAAAAAAAAUUAAUUUGAAUACCUAAAAUUUUAGGAUUGACAAACCUGUAAUUUUAGAUAAAUAGUAAUGGUUAUUUCUCUUAUAUUUGUUAGGUGAAGAGUAGAUUUUCAGGAUUAUUUUUCUCCAAAGUUUUUGAGGACUUCUUUUGAGGUAAGGGAAGUUAAUGUAAUAUUUAUAAAAUUAAAUUAUUUCAUAUGUUAUUUUGAAUUGUGGAAAAUAAAAUGAUAUUUUGUUACCAUGCAUGGAUCAAAUUGUUUUGCACUAAAUGUUAUGUUGGAAUAUUUUGUUUUAUUUAUGACACAAAAUAUGGAGAUAUUAUGUUGUGUAAAUUUGAAUACUUGAACAAAAACAUCACUCUGGUUUAUUUGGCCCUUGUCAACGGGAUAUAAUAAUUGACUAUUUGGCCCUAUCAACGGGAUAUAAUAAUUGACCUUUACAUUUCAUGGUGGGAAUGUAAUUGAUUUGGACCCCAGCCUCUAGGGGUUUGGUUAGAGGUUACUAGUACUAGUAGCGUUUGGUUCCGUCCACCAGGAACAAUUUGAGGCUAGCCACCCAUUUGAAAAGUCCCACCUAACUGGGCAUUUGAUAUUUGAUAACCAGAGUAAUGAAACUUGAAUGAAUUUGAUUGAAUCUUAUGUGAAAGUGUUUGAAUUUGAUAUGAAAUUGGUUGGUUGAAUUUUGAAUAUAUUGGUAUUUUUGGAACUCUGAUAUUUGAUAAGAAAAAAAAAAUUUAUAUCUCCUAUUUGAAAUGAAAAUAUUUGAUCCAUGAAUUGCAUUAAUAUUCCUUAUUGGGCUGUGAGCUCAUUCCCAAUUGUUGAAAAUUUUCAGGUACUCUUAGUUCGGGUGAGGAGUGAUGGCUAGGCUGAAGAAUGGUCAUCAUUAGGAUUUGACUUAGGAUUUUAUGUUGGAUUUUGUUUAACUGUUAGUUAUGUUCAUUUGGAUCAUUUGAUAUUUGAAAGUUAUUUGGAAAUUGAAUUUUGAGGAAUUUAGAUUUUGUUCCGCUACUCUGAACAAGUAUUUGGUAAUUGGUAACAUCUAGUUACAAUAUGAUUGUUCGGGUCAGAUUAUACUUUAAGCCUUCGGGUUUGAGGUGUGAAAUGACCGUCACGCCCUUGGAGUGGGUCUUGGGGCGUGACAGUAUGUGAUGGGAUCCACUACUUUUGGAGUGAACUCCUGUAAACUCUGGCUGCUCAACAUUUCUUUAUCCUUAUUUUAAAAAAUUUAACUAUUAUUUUCACAACAUUGCUUGAAGGAAGUUGUUUUUUUUCAUAUUUUUCUUAGAUAAUAAUAAAAAAGUUUGGAAAAAGUUCCUUCCUCAAUAGUUCAUUUUUCUUUAAUUUUCUCAUUUUUCCUUUUCAUUAUUUAAUUUUGAUGAAAACAAAAUGAUAGCAUCCAUCGGAACACCAUUUUUAUGUCUAUUUGUCUUAGGGUAAGUGCUAUUGCAUUUCUAUGUAUAUUUGGUUUUAUUUCAUAUGACUCAAUUUACAUAAAACCUAUAGUUAAAAUAAGUUGACCAGAAAAAAAGGGGGUAAACACAAUUGCUAUCAUGAUAUUACAAAAAUAAAGUUUAACAAGUGACCUUAUUUUUUCUUUGUCAAAUUAAGAAAAGAUAUUUAGUGUAUUAUUUGAACUAAUCAAAUGCAUUAUUGUUAGGACAAAAGAACCCUAUAUGUGAUGGGAUCCACUACUUUUUGAGCUGACUCCCAACUUCCAUGUAAAGUCUAGGGCCUCUCGACAUUUUUUUAUGCAUUCACUUGUUUUUAUUUUUGUUUUUAUUUUUAACUAUUAUUUUCACAACAUUGCUGUAAAGAAGUUGUUUUUCUUUUCAUAUUUUUCUUAGAUAAUAGUAAAAAAGUUUGAAAAAAGUGGCUUCUUCAACAGCUUAAUUUUUUUUUUCUCACAUUUUCAAUGGAUAUCUAGACCAAAGAAAUUCUUUUAUAAAUUUUUCUUCUCAUUUUCUUUUAUCUUUUAUCUUUUUUAACAUUUUUUUUCAACCUUUUAAAAACUAAAUAUAACCUAAAGAAAAUAAUAAUAAAUAUAAAAACAAAUACAUAAGGAAAGACUUUUAACAUAAUUUUUUAUUAUAAAAAUCAUUGAAGUGCACAAAUAAACCUAUAUAUAAAUGAUUGGGAAGCUGGAAUCCUUUGUUCUCAAGAAUCUUUAAUGAUUGGGAAAUGGAAGAGGUGGAGGGCUUGCUUCAAAAAAUACACCCUCUGGUUUUGCAUAGUGAUGUGGAGGAUGUUUUAAGCUGGAAGAUUGGUAAGAAUGACUCUUUCUCUGUUAGAUCUUGAAAAUGUGAAUCUCAAUAAUGAACUACACCUAGAGGGGGGUGAAUAGGUGUUGUAGAACAAUUUUAAAAUUCUCCCAAUAAAGAUUACCUAACCUUAAUAAAACAUCCACAAGCAACAAUGUAUGCAUCAACACUCUCCCAACAAUUUAUAAAUGCAAAACACAUGCAAAUGCUUCAACACUCCUCAAAAAUAAAACAAAAUAUAGAGUGAGAGAAAGAGACACCAGAUUUUUAACGUGGAAAACCUCCGAAGAGAUCAAAAACCACGGGCCUAUCACCGAUUGAAAACUCCACUAUGAAGAAUAAAAAACUGAGUACAAGGUUUUACCUAGCUCAAGCCAACCAAUCCUUCCCGGAAUACUUGACUAGUACCUUCAUUUUCAGCUUCUCCUUUUGGAGCACACUUGGAGUCCGCACCAAGCUCAAUCUCGGCCUCUUCUUGAAUCCACACAAGAAGAAAAUGGGUUUUUGCACAACCCAAAUAGAAUGAGAGAUUUAGAUGUGAAUGAAAGAAUGAAUCAACCCAUUUAUUGCUCAAGAAAAUCCAUUGAAAACAAGUUUUGAAAACAUUAAGAGAAGUUGAUUUUCUUUGCAAUCAAAAACCCCAACUUAGGAAAGCAAAAAUGAGAAAUGAAGAACACUUGGGAGUGUGGCUGCUCUCCCCACGUUUUCAGCAGUCUCUCUACACAGAAAAUGAGAGAAGAUUGGGUUUUAAAGUGUAAAAAGAAACCCUUAAUCUAAUGGCUGAGAUUUGAUCAAAAAAACAUUAGUUGGAUAGAUCCACCCCUACACCUGGAUCGAUCCAGAAACAGAGGAAUAAAAGCCUUGCACCAAAAACCAUUUUUUCCAACUUUCUAACACAUUUUAAAGAUUAAAAACCGGGUUGAUUCACACCCAAUCACUCCACACUCGACUACAUACCUUGGCCUCUUAGCAAAGUCUUAGUCUUCAAAGUCAAGUAGUCCGAAUAGGAAUAGGAAAGCCGAGUUAGGGGACACUUAGGAAUUUUGUCCGGAAUUGCCAACCUAGCUAAACACUCACAGAUCUCUCUACCAAUCCCUCACAACUACCUCUAGUGAACCUUUUCCUUGGAGCAUCAUUUGGAGAUCUUGGGCACCCGUGAGAGUUAGUUUUUUUGCUUGGGAAGCGUCUUGGAACCGAAUUUUGACCACUGAUCAGCUUAAAAGAAGGGGCUGGAUACUAUCAAAUAGAUGUUAUUUGUGUAAAAUGGAAGAGGAAACUAGCGACCACUUGUUCCUAUUCUGCAAGAAGGCUAUAAUGUUAUGGAGCUUGCUUUUCUCCCUUUUUGACGUGCAGUGGGUCCUACAUUCCUCAAUCAAAAGGAAUUUGAUAGCUUGACAUGGUGCUUCUAUGAGCAAGGGAAAGGAAAAAGCUUGGAGGGUUGCUCCCCUUUGUUUAAUGUGGAUAUUAUGGAGGGAGAGAAAUGAAAGAGUGUUCAAUAACAAUGAACGUACCGACCAAGCUCUAAAACUCUCUUUUUUGUACACUUUUGUGAAUUGGGGUAGGGUAUAUUUAGAGAAUCAUUCUUUGUCAUUGUUUGACUUUAUAGAAUGACUUUUGUCUAGAUAAAAUAAAGGUUUUUCUUUUUGGCUUAAAUCCUUGGGCGUUACUUGUAUACUUCGUGUCUACUCUUUUCGCCUUUCUAGGCUUUUAUAAUACAUCCUCUUAUUUGCCUAUAAAAAAAAAACACCUAUAUAUAAAUGAACUUUCAUUGUUUUAAACGUUAAUUAUUAUUGAUAUAACAAAAUGUAGUAUAAAGAAAAUAUAAUUUUACAAAAUUUAUCCAUUAAUCCAAAUGAAUAAGAAUUAAAUGGUGUAAAACAAUUUUCUAUUUUUGAUUAUUUUAUUUUAUUUUAUCUCAUUAUUAAAUUUUGAUGGUAGAAAAAUGGUGGCAUCCAAGAGAACACUAUUUCUAUGUCUAUUUGUUUUACGGUAAGUAAGUGUUAUUAGUGCAUUCCAAAUAAAAUAUAAAAAAAUUUAAUAAUGUUUAUUGCUAGAUUUAAAUUUGACAUAACCAAUAUGCAGUUAUAAACAUAUCUUUAUUGUUUUAGAACUUUUUAACCUUGAAAUUUUGAAUUUAUCCUAAAUUUUACAUGGGGUAAGACUAUAUUUUCAUAAGCUCAAUUAAAUAAAUGCACCAAAAUUUUUUGUUUGAGGUUAACUCAAAUUCAACUAUUUAAAGAAGUAACGGCAAUUCAAAUAAUUUUUUCCAAAUUCAUUUUAAUUUAUAACCCACCUUCUAAAGGAGUUCUCGAUUUCUACCAAUUACUUCAAAUUUACCUUAUUUUAUAUCCCAUAUUUUCAGAAGUCAAUUUACUUCCAACCACACAGAUCCCACGAUAAUAUUAUAUGUCAUCUUAAAUCCAUAUCCAUUUGAUUGGUAGGAUAUUAUCUCUUCAUUUUUAUUUUUUUUUUAAGUUGACGUUGACUCAAGUCAAUCCCCUCUCUCCAUAUAUAGAUGUAUCAGUCUGAGAUCACUUACAGCCUUCUGAUCGUCUCUCAUCGUCUCUCUAGCUACACUUCCGUUCCAUCUACUUUCCAUCCUCUGCAGUAUUAUUUUCUUUGCUAUUUCAAAUAUGGCUGAACAAAUUCCAUUCGGUAUUGCUGAGAACCUUUUGAUGAAGCUGGGCUCUGCUGUUUUCCAUGAAAUUGGAUUAAUGUAUGGUGUCCGAGGUGAGCUGAGUAAGCUUAAGGAGAAACUGUCCACCGUCGGAGCUGUGCUUCUUGAUGCUGAGGAGAAGCAGGAGAGCAGCUGCGCAGUAGCAGAUUGGGUCAGGAGGCUUAAAGAUGUUGUGUAUGAUGCUGAUGACUUGUUGGACGACUUUGCAACCGAAGACUUGAGGAGAAAGACUGAUGAUCGUGGAAGAUUUGCGGCACAAGUGAGUGACUUCUUCUCACCUUCGAAUCAACUUGCUUUUCGAUUUAAGAUGGCUCAUGGAAUAAAGGCUAUUAGAGAAAGGCUAGAUGAUAUUGCAAAUGAUAUCUCCAAGUUCAAUUUAAUUUCCAGAGUUAUGUCUGAUGUCCGGGUAAGGAAUAAUGGGAGGGAGACGUGCUCUGUUGUGGAGAAAUCUCAUAAAAUUGUGGGUAGAGAAGAAAACAAAAGGGAGAUAAUAGAGUUGUUGAUGCAAUCAAGUACUCAAGAAAAUCUGUCAAUGGUUGUGAUUGUAGGCAUGGGGGGCUUAGGCAAGACCACCCUUGCUCAGUUGGUAUACAACGACCAAGGGGUGGUAAGCUAUUUUAAUCUUAGCAUGUGGGUCUGUGUUUCCGUUGAUUUCGAUGUUGAAGUACUCGUUAAAAACAUCUUAAUGUCUGCGACUAAUGAAGAUGUGGGAAACCUACGCUUAGAACAAUUGCAAAAACGUCUGCAAGAAAAGUUAGAUGGGAAGAGGUACUUGCUUGUGUUAGAUGAUGUCUGGAACGAGGACAAAAGGAAAUGGGGUCAGUUCAUAACCUUAUUGCCUGUUGGUGCAAAUGGGAGUAAAAUCUUGGUGACCACUCGAAGCACAAGAGUUGCAUCAGUUAUAGGAAUUGAUUCCCCAUAUAUUGUGGAAGGUCUUAAAGAUGACGAGUCUUGGGAUUUGUUUGAAAGUCUUGCAUUUAAAAAGGCAGAAGAGCAAAUGCACCCAAACCUUGUAGCCAUAGGAAAAGAUAUUGUAAAGAUGUGCAAAGGAGUUCCUCUUAUCAUCGAGACUUUAGGCAGAAUGUUGUACUUCAAAACCCAAGAAAGCCAUUGGUUGAGCAUUAAAAAAAAUAAAAAUCUUGUACAUCUUGGAGAAAAAAAUGAUAUUUUACCGAUAUUGAGGUUAAGCUAUGACAAUCUCCCCGUCCAUUUGAAACAAUGUUUUGCCUAUUGUGCAUUGUUUCCCAAAGAUUAUAUAAUUAAAAAAAAGUUGUUAGUACAACUAUGGAUGGCACAAGGUUACCUUCAACCAUAUGAUGAGAAUAUAGAUUUAGAGGAUGUUGGUAAUCAAUAUUUUGAAGAUUUAUUGUCAAGGUCAUUGUUUCAAAAAGUUGAAAAUAAAUAUGAUAACAAUAUGUUAAGUUAUAAAGUGCAUGACUUAAUUCAUGAUCUUGCACAAUCCAUUGUAAAUUCGGAGGUUAUCAUUGUUACUGAUGAUGUGAAGAUCAUUUCACAAAGAAUUCAUCAUGUGUCAUUAUUUACAAAACACAAUGAAAUGCUCAAGGGUUUAAUGGGCAAAUCCAUCAGGACUUUCUUUAUGGACGCCGGCUUUGUGGAUGAUCAUGAUAGUUCUAUAACUAGACUCCUUUCAAGCUUAAAAGGUUUGCGGGUAAUGAAGAUGAGUUUCUUCUUACGACAUAAGGCUCUGUCAUCUUUAGGAAAACUAAGUCAUCUAAGAUAUCUUGAUCUUUCUUAUGGGUGGUUUGAAAACCUCCCAAAUGCUAUUACAAGAUUGAAGCAUUUACAGACAUUGACGCUUUUCAAUUGUAUACGUCUAAAAGAAUUGCCGAGAAAUAUGAAAAAAUUGAUCAACCUGAGGCAUCUUGAGAUUGAUGAAGUAAAUAAAUUAAGUUAUAUGCCACGUGGUUUGGGAGAUUUGACUAAUCUUCAAACCUUGCCAUUAUUCUGGGUAAGGAAUGAUGGUGGGGAAUCCAGGCACAAGAGAAUGGGUAGGUUGAAUGAACUGAGAUUCCUUAACAAUCUCAGAGGACAACUACAAAUUAAAAGGCUUUCAAAUGCAAGGGGCAGUGAAGCUAAGGAAGCCAUGUUGGAGGGUAAACAGUACCUUGAGUGCUUGAGAUUAGAUUGGUGGAAACUACCAGCUACCCAGGAGAGUGAGGAGGCAAUGUUAGUAAUGGAAUGCCUGCAACCACAUCCAAAUCUGAAGGAGCUCUUCAUAGUUGAUUACCCAGGUGUGAGAUUCCCAAAUUGGAUGAUGAAUGAUGGGUUGGAUUUGCUGCUCCCAAACCUAGUCAAAAUACAAAUAUCGUCUUGCGACAGAAGCAAAGUUCUGCCACCUUUUGCACAACUCCCUUCUCUUAAAUAUCUAGAACUUUCCAAUCUAAUAGCUGUGGAGUGCAUGAUGGAUUACCCUUCAUCAGCAAAGCCAUUCUUCCCAUCUCUGAAGACACUCCAACUUUCUGAUUUGCCUAAUUUGAAGGGAUGGGGAAUGAGGGAUGUAGCAGCAGAGCAAGCUCCUUCAUAUCCUUAUCUUGAGGAUCUACGGCUGGACAACACCACUGUGGAGCUAUGCUUACAUUUGAUCUCUGUCUCUUCUUCAUUGAAGUCUGUGUCUAUUAGACGCAUAAAUGAUCUGAUAUCUCUGCCAGAGGGGCUUCAACAUGUUUCCACCCUACAAACUCUCACAAUUAGGGGUUGCUCUAGUUUGGCAACUUUACCAGACUGGAUCGGCCGCCUCACAUCACUUUCAGAGCUUUGCAUUGAAAAGUGCCCUAAUUUAACAUCACUGCCAGAAGAGAUGCGAUCCCUCCGCCAUCUACACACACUUAAAAUCAAUGGAUGUCCAUACUUAUAUGAAAGAUGCCAAAAGGAAACUGGUGAAGAUUGGCCUACGAUUUCUCAUAUUCCCGAAAUUAUCAUUCGGCGAUGGUGAAGCAGAUAUGUGAAGCUUGCCUUGUCUCUUUAAUGAAUGCGUCAUCCACAAUAAAUUUCGGUAUGCAAUCCAAUUUCUAGUUGUUUGCUGUGCUUUUUGUUAUUUGUUCGCACUUCACCUGUUAUAUAAAAUGCUUAGCUUACCAAAAUGCCCUGUUACUCGGUGUUUGCAGUUUACACAUUUGCAUUUUACUGCCGUCGAAUGUAUUGAGGUGAACCCCCACCACAUGUUGAAUUGAUUGGUAGUGUGAAGAAGACCAUUGAUGUAUAUAGGUGUAGAGUAAGGUGUUUUUUCCAUAGGGACUGCCACAAGCAAUUUAAUUUCUUUUUUUUUUUUUUUUGAAUGUUGAUUCUUAUAAGAUAGAACCAAAAGCAUAAAAUAAAAUCUAAUGCUUAUUUAGAGUUUUUUUGUAAUAUAAACAAGUGCCUAUCGCAAAGAAAGAACAUAGCAUAUUUUUGUGCAAUUUUAAAUUAUUCAUCGUUCUAUGUGUUUCCAAUCCAAUUUGUAUGGUUGUUUUUGCAGGGUUUAUGUUUUGUUACUUUACAAUUUAUCUCUUAAGAACCUUAUAUAUUAUGUUUUGCUAAUUUCAAUAUGUAAUAGCAUAUGUGAGGAAAAAGGUUUUUCAAUUUGUUUUCCUUCACUUUGUUGCAUGUCUAUGUUCUUUUACUCAUGAAUACAAUUGGGACUGUAAAUGCUAUGUUCGGUUUUCUUGUAGUUAUUCAGAAUAUCACUUGGGAUGUGCAUAUAAUACUUUCUUAUUAUAGAAGUCUUUGCCCUAGUUAUAAAUUAUGAUUUGAUUUUAUAUUUUUGGAUUGAAAAAUGCUUGUAAUUCUUUUCGCUAGUCUAAUUUCUUGAUGAUUCAUUCUAUUAAGCCAACACCCUUUAAUAUUCCUUAAAAAAAUGUUGACAAGCGGAGGAUAACCGAUGCAUAUGGAACGAGUUAGCUCACUUACAUCACAUUCCCAACCUAUACUCUUUUUAGCAUGUUGUCCAUACUUUGUCUCCACUAUUCAGGUUUAGAAUUGACUCCUCUCCUUUUGCUCUGAAUUGUUUACCCCUUUCAUUCAUUUACUAAAAUUUUUUGUACUCCUUCUGAUGUUUUGAUCUUUUUUUUUUAACUCUUAUUUGAAGUAGAACAACAAUAUACCACUUGAGCAAGGAGCACAUAUCAUUGAAUCCAUGUGGUAAGUGGUUAAUUCUCGUCUCUCAAGUUUCUUGAUCGUGGGAAUCUAAAUGCUUUGGGGUGCAUGGAUAACAAUAGCGACAUAUCUCCCUCAUUUUCAUUGAGAGGCAAGUUGGUUUGAGGGGAGUAUAAAAUAAGGAGAACUAGCAGGACCAUUCUUCCCAUUCCUGCCAUGAUGGAGGAAAAGAGACGGUGGAGGGAUAGUAUCAAUAUCACUAGCAAAACAACAAAUUUGAAGGGAUUACCCAUCAUCAGCAAAGCCAUUAUUCCCAUGUCUGAGGACACUCCAACUUUUUUAUUUGCCCAAUUUGGAGGGAUGGGGAAGGAGGGAUGUAGCAGCAGAGCAAGCUCCUUCAUAUGCUUAUCUUGAGGAUCUACAGCUGGGCAACACCACUGUGGAGCUACGCUUACAUUUGAUCUCUGUCUCUUCUUCAUUGAAGUCUCUGUCUAUUAGACGCAUAAAUGAUCCGAUAUCUCUGCCAGAGGGGCUUCAACAUGUUUCCACUCUACAAACUCUCAGAAUUUCCGGUUGCUUUAGUUUGGCAACUUUACCAGACUGGAUUGGCAGCCUCACAUCACUUUCAUACCUUUCCAUUCAAUACUGCCCUGAGUUGAGAUCACUACCAGAAGAGAUGCGAUCCCUCCGCCAUCUAUACACACUCGAAAUCGGUGGAUGUCCAUGCUUAUAUGAAAGAUGCCAAAUGGAAACUGGCGAAGAUUGGCCUAAGAUUUCUCAUAUUCCCGAAAUUAUUAUUUCGCGACAUUGAAGCAGGUAUGUGAAGCUUGCCUUGUCUCUUUAAUUGAAUGCGUCAUCCACAAUAAAUUUCAAGUAUGCAAUCCAAUUUCCAAUUGUUUGUUGUGCUUUUUCUUAUUUGUUCGCACUUCACCUGUUCGAUAAAAUGCUUAGGUUACCAAAAUGCCUUGUUACUCGGUGUUUGCAGUUUACACGUUUGCAUUUUAUUGCCGUCGAAAUUGUUGUCAUCUCAUUUCUCUCAAAUAUUAUAUAAAUUUCAGAAUAUAAUACUUGAAACUGUUGCACUACUGAUUAUUUAAGGCUUGGAAUGCCUUCAAAAAUUGCAACCAUCAUGCCUCUAGAUGGCCACCCAAGAAAACUAAAGCUCAGGAAACUCAGCCAGGAAUUUAUAUUAAUCAGAACUAGACUCUUAUAUGGAUUUGCUUGUAGUGUUUAACAAUGUUUGGGCUAGAACUUAAAGAAGUGUAGCUCCAUAUUCCUUGAUAGACAUGUUAAUGUAUUGAGGUGAACCCCACCACAUGUUGAAUUGAUUGGUAGUGUGAAGAAGACCAUUGGUGUAUAUAGGUGUAGACUAAGGUGCUUCUUCCACAGGGCUGCCACAAGCAAUCUAAUUUCUUUUUCUUAUUUUUUUUCUUUUUUUUAUGUUGAUUCUUAUAAGAUGGCACCAAAAGCAUAAAAUAAAAUCUAAUGCUUAUUUAGAGUUUUUUGUAAUAUAAACAAGAGUCUAUUGCAAAGAAAGAACAAACAUAUUUCUAUGCAAUUUUAAAUUAUUCAACUUACUAUGUGUUUGCAAUCCAAUUUGUAUGGUUGUUUUUACGGGGUUUAUUUUUAGUUAUUUUACAAUUCAUCUCUUAAGAACCUUAUAUAUAUUAUAUUUUGCUAAUUUCGAUAUGUAAUAGCAUAUGUGAGGAAAAAGGUUUUUCAAUUUGUUUUCCUUCACUUUGUUGCAUGUCUAUGUUCUUUUAUUCAUGAAGAUAACUGGGACUGUAAAUGUCAUGUUCGGUUUUAUUGUAGUUAUUCAGAAUAUCACUUGGGAUGUGCAUAUAAUACUUUCUUAUUAUGGAAGUCUUUUCCCUGGUUAUAAAUUAUGAUUUGAUUUUAUAUUUUUGGAUUGAACAAUGCUUGUAAUUCUUUUCGCUAUUCUAAUUUCUUGAUGAUUCAUUCUAUUAAGCCAACACCCUUUAAUAUUCCUUAAAAAAAUGUUGACAGGUGGAGGAUAACCGAUGCAUAUGGAACGAGUUAGCUCACUUACAUCACAUUCCCAACCUAUACUCUUUUUAGCAUGUUGUCCAUACUUUGUCUCCACUAUUCAGGUUUAGAAUUGACUCCUCUCCUUUUGCUCUGAAUUGUUUACCCCUUUCAUUCAUUUACUAAAAUUUUUUGUACUCCUUCUGAUGUUUUGAUCUUUUUUUUUUAACUCUUAUUUGAAGUAGAACAACAAUAUACCACUUGAGCAAGGAGCACAUAUUAUUGAAUCCAUGUGGUAAGUGGUUAAUUCUCGUCUCUCAAGUUUCUUGAUCGUGGGAAUCUAAAUGCUUUGGGGUGCAUGGAUAACAAUAGCGACAUAUCUCCCUCAUUUUCAUUGAGAGGCAAGUUGGUUUGAGGGGAGUAUAAAAUAAAGAGAACUAGCAGGACCAUUCUUCCCAUUCCUGCCAUGAUGGAGGAAAAGAGAUGGUGGAGGGAUAGUAUCAAUAUCACUAGCAAAACAACAAAUUUGAAGGGAUUACCCAUCAUCAGCAAAGCCAUUAUUCCCAUGUCUGAGGACACUCCAACUUUUUUAUUUGCCCAAUUUGGAGGGAUGGGGAAGGAGGGAUGUAGCAACAGAGCAAGCUCCUUCAUAUCCUUAUCUUGAGGAUCUACAGCUGGGCAACACCACUGUGGAGCUACGCUUACAUUUGAUCUCUGUCUCUUCUUCAUUGAAGUCUCUGUCUAUUAGACGCAUAAAUGAUCCGAUAUCUCUGCCAGAGGGGCUUCAACAUGUUUCCACCCUACAAACUCUCACAAUUGAAUAUAUCUCUGGUUUGGUCACUUUACCACACUGGAUCGGCCGCCUCACAUCACUUUCAAAGCUUCGCAUUGAACACUGCCAUAAUUUGUUAUUUCUGCCAGCAGAGAUGCGAUCCCUCCGCCAUCUACACACACUUGAAAUCUGUGAUUGUCCACUCUUAUAUAGAAGAUACAAAUACAAAACUGGUGAAGUUUCGGCUAUGAUUUCUCAUAUUCCCGAAAUUAUUAUUUCGCGACAUUGAAGCAGGUAUGUGAAGCUUGCCUUGUCUCUUUAAUUGAAUGCAUCAUCCACAAUAAAUUUCAAGUAUGCAAUCCAAUUUCUAGUUGUUUGUUGUGCUUUUUCUUAUUUGUUCGCACUUCACCUGUUCGAUAAAAUGCUUAGGUUACCAAAAUGCCUUGUUACUCGGUGUUUGUAGUUUACAUGUUUGCAUUUUACUGCCGUCGAAAUUAUUGUCAUCUCACUUCUCUCAAAUAUUAUAUAAAUUUCAGAAUAUAAUACUUGAAACUGUUGCAAUACUGAUUAUUUAAUGCUUAUAAUGCCUUCAAAAAUUGCAACCAUCAUGCCUCUAGAUGGCCACCCAAGAAAACUAAAGCUCAGGAAACUCAGCCAGGAAUUUAUAUUAAUCAAAACUAGACUCUUUUAUGGAUUUGCUUGUAGUGUUUAACAAUGUUUGGGUUAGAACUUAAAGAAGUGUCGCUCCAUAUUCCUUGAUGGACACGUUAAUGUAUUGAGGUGAACCCCACCACAUGUUGAAUUGAUUGGUAGUGUGAAGAAGACCAUUGGUGUAUAUAGGUGUAGACUAAGGUGCUAAAUCCGUGGGGACUGCCACAAGCAAUCUAAUUUUAUUUUAUUUUUUUAUGUUGAUUCUUAAAAGAUGGCACCAAAAGCAUAAAAUAAAAUCUAUUGCUUAUUUAGAGUUUUUUGUAAUAUAAACAAGUGUCUAUCGCAAAGAAAGAAUAGAGCAUAUUUCUAUGCAAUUUUAAAUUAUUCAACUUACUAUGUGUUUGCAAUCCAAUUUGUAUGGUUGUUUUUACAGGGUUUAUUUUUUGUUAUUAUACAAUUUAUCUAGCUCUUUAGAACCUUAUAUAUUAUGUUUUGCUAAUUUCGAUAUGUAAUAGCAUAUGUGAGGGAAAAGGUUUUUCAAUUUGUUUUCCUUCACUUUGUUGCAUGUCUAUGUUCUUUUACUCAUGAAUAUAAUUGGGACUGUAAAUGUCAUGUUCGGUUUCCUUGUAGUUAUUUAGAAUAUCACUUGGGAUGUGCAUAUAAUACUUUCUUAUUAUGCAAGUCUUUUCCCUAGUUAUAAAUUAUGAUUUAAUUUUAUAUUUUUGGAUUGAACAAUGCUUGUAAUUCUUUUCACUAGUCCAAUUUCUUGAUGAUUCAUUCUAUUAACCCAACACCCUUUAAUAUUCCUAAAAAAAAUGUUGAUAGGUUGAGGAUAACCGAUGCAUAUGGAACAAGUUAGCUCACUUACGUCACACUCCCAAUCUAUACUAUCUUUAGCAUGUUGUCCAUACUUUGUCUCCACUAUUCAGGUUUAGAAUUGACUCAUCUCCUUAUGCUCUGGAUUGUUUACCCCUUUCAUUCAUUUACUAAAAAAUGUUGUACUUCGUCUGAUGUUUUUCGUCUGAUAUUUUGAUCUUUUUUUUAACUCUCAUUUAAAGUAGAACAACAAUAAACCACUUGAGCAAGGAGCACAUAUUACUGAAUCCAUGAGGCAAGUGGUUAAUUCUCGUCUCUCAAGCUUCUUGAUCAUGGGAAUCUAAAUGCUUUGGGAUGCAUGGAUAACAAUAGCGGCAUAUCUCCUUCAUUUUCAUUGAAAGGCAAGUUGGUUUGAGGGGAGUAUAAAACAAGGAGAACUAGCAGGACCAUUCUUCCCAUUCCUACCAUGAUGGAGGAAAAGAGAUGGUGGAGGGAUAGUAUCAAUAUCACUAGCAAAACAACAGUAACCAACAUUCAUUACCUCUCUAGUUUCCUCGUCUUUUUAUUUUACUUGAGCUGAAAUGCAUGCUGAUAUAUCUAUAUCUUGAUCAGGAUUUAGAUCUGUAUAACAUCUCUUCCACAAGAGGAGCCCUAAGUGCUUACUUCUCCUAAUUUGGUAAGUAUGUUGCAUUAUUGUUUGUUUGUAUGAUUCUAAAUAUCAGUUUUGAAUGAUGAUGAAAAUUUAUGUUUUUCUCUCAUUUUCUCAAAAUUGAUGACAAAUAGAUAAAAGAUUCUUGUGCUCUUUAAUUCUAGCACACCAUACAAACAUAUUUUAGGUUUGCAAAUCACCCCAUAUUCCUUUUCUAUGGGGUUUACUUUUCAUUAUUUUACAAUCUGUCCUUUAAGAAUGUUACACUUUCUUUACAGCUUUAAUGGUUACCAGAGUCUUUGAUGCAUUUCCAAAAACACUCAUAUUAUGCAAGUCCUUUUCAUGGUUAUGAGUCAUGUUUGUAAUUCUUUUGAUUGGAUUUUAUUGGACAAAUUUAUUGCAGAUUUAUUCUAUUGCAGACCAAUACCAAAGGGGUGAUGUUGAGGAUUGGAUAGAUGCUUUUCAAUAUUCCAUAAAUAAAUAUUGACAUGUUAUGGGUACCCGAGGCAUAUGGGAAGAGUUAGCCAUUCAAUUCGAUAUUUAAGCUUUGCAUGUUGUCUAUAACAUGUCUUCAUUAUUCAGGUUUAGGACCCAUUCCUCUCUUUUUUGGUUUUGUUGGUUUAUUUUCUGUUAUUUAAUUUGCUAAAAAUUCUUAUACCUUGUCUUAUAGGAAGGGUGAAACAAGGAGAAUUAACAGGAUUAUUCUUCUCAUUUCUGCCAUGAUGGAGAAACUCAAAAACUAGAUAAACUUAAAACAUAUGUCGAGGUGGUAGUGGCAUUACCAGAUAAACAACAGAAGCUUCAUUCUUGCCAUGUUUUCCUUUUCUUCCUAUUCUCCUUGAGCCGACAUCCAUGCCACUGCAUCUAUAUCUUAAGGAUCCACAGUACCAUCUCCUUCAUUUCCUUUCUCCUUCCUACAUCCAUUGAUGUCUAUGCAUAUUGAUGGCGAUAGAGAAUCCAACAUAUGUUCCAAAAAAAGGAUUUUGGUACAUCAUUUCUCUCUUAAAUUUUGACAUGCCAUUGUUUAUUUGUCCAAGUCUAGAUAUUCGAAAUGUAAAUGCUAAUGGUGGUGAAAUCUUAUGUCUUAGGGAAUUUCAGCAAGUUAAAGAUUUUUAUGUGAAAGUAGGAAUCAAUUCUAAGAACUUGAGAGGUAGCAUUCAAUAUGUAUUCACCUUACUACAGCAAAGAAUCUAACACUUUGGGUAUGUGUUCAUUCUUUAACUUAGGUAAAAUAGAUGGUAAGUCACCUCACUAAGCUUGUUGUUAUUCAUUGUCAAGCUUGAAAUCACUACUAGAGGGAUGUCAAAAGGAAGCAUGUGCAGAUUGAUCUGAUGGCUUAUCAUGUCCCAAGAAUUCAUAUCUACCAGUCUCAAAUAGCUAAUGCACAAAGGACCUAUUCUCUCUUUACAAUUCGGGUGCACUAUCUGCAAUGCAUGUUCUAAGGUUUGCUAUGCCAACUUUUUUUCCUUCUUUUGAUGGCUACUUUAUUUCUUAUUUUCCAUUCAAUUUGUUCCAAUUCUUAUUUUAUAAGUUAUGUAUUGUUGGUGCAUAUGGAAUGAGUAAAUUCACUUGCAUCAUUAUGUCUCUAUUAUUCAGGUAUGUCAGUCCACUCCCUCUUCCCACCUCGAAACUCUUUAUAGCUUAGUUCUUCACUACAAAUUUUGUAAGAACUAUAAAAGCUCAAAUUCAACUAUUGUAUUUUAGUUGUUCAAAGCAAUAAAACAGCAACUAGUUGAGUGAGCGGCUCGUACUACUUGAAGUGCUUGAUUCAAUUUAUUGUUAGGUGCCUAGACAGAGGCCUUUAUAUAUAAUUUUUAACUGAAAACAAGUAAUAUGAUGUUUAGUGUGGAUGUUCUCUUCUAUGACAAAAGAGAGUAAUAAUUUCAUGUUCUUUUGCUCUUCUUUUGUCAGGAGGAAUUAUAUUGCCUAUUGCUAGGGGAAGAAGUUGCUAGAAUCCAAUACUGUGAGAGUGUAAAUUUUGGAGUUUCUUUGUAAUUGCAUUGUAAGAUCAUCUCAUCUCUAAGUGAAAAAACUCUUGGCUACAAUUGAAGCAUUCCAUUAUGUACAUAAUGUUGUUAGCUUGAUUGAUUUGGCAGGCUUAUUUCCCAAGUUUUGUAAUCAAGUUGUUGGUUCCGAUAUCGUUGAACAUUCAUGACGUAUGGAUCUUCUAAUUUGCAGGCUCCUAUGACAUCUUUCAAACUCAACAAAGGUUCAUUCGUAUCUCAAAAAUUGUUAUAGAUUUUACUUUUUAUGCAAGAGACUUCAAAAAUUAAUUCUUGUAUGAUUUUUUGUAGGAAAAAAGAUUGAGCUACAUGAUUGACCUCAAAGCAGAGAGAAUUAAUCAUUUUGAUGAGGUAUAUAUGGUAAGCCUUCAUCAUCAAUUGUCACAUUGUUCUUUAUGAUAAUUUGUGUUUUCUUUUAGUUCAUUCUUAUACAAUUCCUUUAAUAUCGAAAUUGAAAAACAAAGUACAUAAUUUAUUGAGUUGGCUGUUGUAACAUAUAGUUAUGACAUUAUUCAUGUUCUAAAAUAAUUGAAAGCCAAUCCAAGAUGAUUGAUCUAUAUGUUCAAGAUGCUUGAAAGGAGUGUCAUGAGUCUUUUUAUGGUACCAUUUGCAUAUUAGUGUAAGAGUUAUUAUUCUUAAACUAACUUUUUUCUUCUUUUUUUAUUUGGCGGAAUUAUAGGUGAGAAUCAAGUUUAAUCGAACUAUCCUUGGGACUGAUUUUUACUAGAAGAUAACCUCAUAUUUCAUAAUGUCAUUCAUUGUUGGCAUACAAAAGCUCAAUCAUUAAACAACUUAUGAAAUAAAAGGGUGGUCGAUUAAGAGAGGAAGAAUGGAUUCAAAAGUUGAUCUCCACUUCCCGCGCUUUCGAAGGCUUCAAUCAUGACUCAAAGAACAAGUUGGUUUAUUUAAAGGUUUUGGAAUCUCCUUGCAUGUUGUGGAAGUGUAUUUAGCUUCUAAAUAAAAGUAGAAUUCAAAUCCAGUAUCAACUUUCAAUUACUACAAAUUGCCACUCAAAUCUCCUUACAACCUUUCUAUUAGUUGUUUCUUUAUGCUUCUUCAAUGAUACUAUUAACAUUAUUUUAUGUUACUUUUGAUGUAAUCAUUUUCUAAUAUUUGUCUAUUUGGAUAUUGUAAUUUUUGGAUGAAACAUGAGUCGUUUCUUCUACUCUAUUGUACUUCAUCUUUCUUACAUGGGCAUGCCCAAGAUUCUUGUGAAUCAUAUAAAUUUAGUGAUUGUUGCUUAUAUUUGAUAUUAAGAUUUGUUUAUAAUUCUUUUUUUAAUAUUUAUUUUAUUUACUUUCUAAUACUUUGUUUUUAUUCGGGGCUUCUCUCAGGUUUGUGAUCAAAGUGAGAUGCAUGAAAUUUUAAAAUCCAAAUUAGGAAAGAAAUCAGUCUUCUAUAAUAUAUAUUGCAAUGAGAAACUAUGUUCUUUAAAGCUUUGGUACAACAUUAUUUUUUUCAAGGAAAAUUUUGAAAUUUUGUGUUUUAGAACUUAAUUUUAGAAAAUGUGAAAAACAUAAUAAAAAUGUUUGGACUAUAAUUCAAGAGGGCUGUAGUUAAUCUAAGUCUAACUUGAUCUCUUUUUUUAAAAAAAAAAAUAGGCUUAUCAAGUUGUCCAGGGUAAAAAUCUACAUUUUUUUUUAACUUUAUUUAAUAUAUUUAUAUUAAAAUUAAAAUAAUUAAUGAGACUAUUUCAAGAUAAUAAUUAAAAAAAUAAAAAAUAAAUUUAUAUGUCUUUUUAGAAAAAUGAGAUAAGAGUAAUUACAAUUUAAUAUUUUUUUCCUAUAAAAUUAAAAAAUAAAUAAAAUGAAUAUUAUUAAUGUUGAGUUAUGUAAAACCUAAUUAUACCAUACACUUUCACCAUAACAAUGAUCAACCUUCGUGGUGCCAAGGUUAGUGAGUGUGGGGGUUCCAGACAUAAACCCCAAUAGGUUGAGAUUAGGUUGUGGCCACAUGGAAAAUUGUAUAGUAUCAUUAGGUUACACUCAAUUUAAUACAAUCUAAUCUUAUUUUUCUAAACUUAGGUUGAAAUUAGAUUAGUUAGAAUAUAUUCAAGGUGGUCGAAUUAAUUAUGUCAUGUAAUUCGUAAUCCAUUCAUAAUGUUUUUUUUCUUAUAUAUUUAUACCAAAAUCUAAAUAGUAAGUUGGAUACAAUUACGAUACAAUAACAAAAAAUGUAAAAAGAAAUUUAUAUAUCCUUAUAAAAAAUUAAAAAGUUAUAUAAUAGAAUUAUAAUUUGAUAUUUUUUUCUUAAAAAUAAAAAGGAGAAUAAAUAAAAUGAACACUUUUAAUGUAAGAUUAUAUAAAUUAUAAAUAAUAUAAAAAUAUUAAAUUUGAUUCAUCAUCCAAACCUUAGUAUGAGUAUAACUCAAAUUAAGUUCAAAUCGAAAAAAACUUUACCUAAACUCAACCCUUAUUAAAAAUGAUUACUCACACCUGUCUAAAAAUAGGAUUUAUUAGUCCUAUUUUUCUGUUUUUUUAACUUUACUUGAAAAGAAUCAUAGAGACUUAUAAUUAAUUUUAGUAAUGGGAAAUACUCUUUCAAUAUAAUAUAAUUUUUCAAGUAAACUAAUUGAAAAAUAUUUUUAGAAGAAAUAGGAUUAUUUUUACUUCCGUAUAAAAGUUUCUAUAGAUUAGAAGUUAUUUUGAUUAAAUUAUAUAAACACAUUAAUUUUGUUAAUAAUUAAAGACUUUUGGGGAGUGAUUCUAGUAAAAAUAUUUUUAGUCCUAUUAUAAACACUUUUAUAAAGAAUCACUUAGUAUUUAAACUAAAAAAAAUGUUUUUAAUAAUAUUUUUGAUAACUUAUUAUGAAAUAAAAAUUAUUUUUACACACAUACAUAUAUCGAGGUUUUUUAUUAUUAUUAUUAUAUAAUUUAAAAAAAAUAAUAUAUUAUCUAUAAUUUAAUAUUUAUUUGUGGGUAGUGCUCUUGACUUGACUAACCAAUGGCCUUGCUAGUUGCCACGUCGACCCAUAAGCUUUGGCUUAUUAGUAGGUAGUGUGGUUCGUGGCCAUUCAUCUUCUAAAUGGGUUUCUUGUUGUCCCACGCAUUCCAUUUUGGGUUUGGUCUCUAUUUUCCUCCACACAAUACAAACCCACUAUUCAAAAUUUCCACACCACUUCACAUCACAUGCAAUGGCUCCUCUCUUAUUUCUCUUAAUCAUUUAAUAGUUUAUUUUGCCCAAACAUUCAUAUAGGACACUAGAUGAGACGAUGCCAUCUGGCGGCAGAUUAGAGAACGAGGAGGUGAUAAAAGCUCCAAACCACUGAGCAGUGAUUGACGGCAAUGCCGAAGAAGAUGGCGGAGAAGGAGGAGCAAGGCGGCGCAGGAGUAGUGGUGGUGGAUCCGACGCCGAGUAAGGGGUUCACUUCGAAGGCGGUGGAUUGGCUGGAGAAGCUGAUAGUGAAGUUGAUGCACGAUUCUUCACAGCCUCUCCACUACUUGUCUGGAAACUUCGCUCCGGUUCGCGACGAGACUCCGCCGUGCAAGAACCUUCCGGUCAUUGGGUAUCUUCCGGUGGGUGAGAUUGACGAAACCCAUGUUUUUCUUUUUCGGGAAAACAUUUGGCUGCGUGUGCUUGGCUGCUGAGAAAAGAAAAGAAAAAAAAAGAAACUUUUGGUUUUUGUCUAUUUUUAAGGAAAAGUGAGGCUCAAAUACCAAAUUUGAUUUAUUUUACAUUCAAAUCAUUUUCUCACCAAACAAAUGGAGCCUAAUAGAAAUUAAUUGUAGUUCGAAUUUCAGCUAACUUUUCUUUUCUUUUGCUGCUUGAAUUCAUUGUUUUUUUUCCCCUAACUUUUUUUAAUAGGGAUGUUUUCGUUUUCUUGAUAUAUUUCUUGGAAAUUCAUAUGUAGUGAAUUAUUGCAUCUCUUUUUAAUUUAAUAUUUUUUGGUUUUUUUUUUUUUGGUAAAUUACAUUAUUAGUCAGGGAAUGAUGUAAUAGACUAACAGCAUGUAGACGGUAGUAUAAUGCUGGGCAACAUAGAUAUGGCAUGUUGAUUUGAUAAAUAUAAUGCGCAAUUUUUUCUCUGUUUCUGAAAUAUGCUGAAUAUUUGCAAAAACUCCAUAAAAUUUAAAUUUGGAUUGGUCAUUGAAUAUGAAUUGACAAGAGAAAUUGGAGUAUGAAAGUUUAGAGGAUGAAUAACCAGUUUCAAGAAGUUGGAUUCUGAAUUUAGGAAAGAGUUGCUUUAAUUUUGUGUUUGUUACUUUGGCCUACUUAAUCAGAAUUUUGUUUAAAGAUCAGACAAAUUAUUUUAAAAUUUUAAAAUUUUGGGAUUUUCCAAAUUCAUCAAGUGUCGUGCUACUCGAUCAGAGUUGUCUUUCGACCAAAUGUUAACAAAUGGGCUGUAAAUUUGCCAGCUCUAAGCAUGGUAACAGUUAUCAAACCCAGUGUAUUUUUUUUCAUGAACAUGAUGGCUGCCAAAAUUUGUGUGAGAAAUGUAACCCAUUUGAUGUAUAUAAUUGGGUCUGUUACCCCCCACAGAAAAUCUUUGAUUUUUUGUGAGAGUGAACAAGAGAAAUAUUUAGUGAGAAACAAACUAUAAGACUAUAACAUAGUUUGUGUGGUUCACUGCUAUGUAUCUAGGGGGACAAGCUGACUAGAGAUAGAUCCACAAAAUAUGAAAAACAUAAUAAGAUCUUACCUUCCCUAAAAUCUAACAGCAACCCCAUCGAAACCUUUUGUUUUCUUUUAUCUUUAAUGAUUAUGAUGAAUCCCAAUUGCUUAAAUACUCAUUGUAAAUCUGCUAAUCUUAUUUCCUGUCAAAAUUGCCAAUAGUUUGAUUUUUUUUUCCCCUUGGAUACUGUAAGUCUAGCCAUUCAUCCUCUGCUAAAUUGAUAUGAAAUUGGAAAUGUUGCUUACAGGAGUGCCUGAAUGGAGAGUUUGUCAGGGUUGGCCCCAACCCUAAGUUUUCCCCUGUGGCUGGAUAUCAUUGGUACGCCCUUUGUCUUUAUGUCAAACUAUUUCUAAUAGAGCUUGACAUGGUUUUUGGUGGGGUGAUUAUACUCAGUUUUUUUGCUUAAAAAAUGUUAAAUUUUUAAUUUACCUUCAUCCCAAUCAUGUAUACUUUUGUUUUUUACUUGUUUCGGGCUAUUCUUGCAAAUGAAAUGUUAGUUAUCAACCCGAUGACAACUGUGCUGAUCCCUUUUUUCUCUGUGCAGGUUUGAUGGAGAUGGGUGGGUGUUUUUCCUUCAUUCACAACUGAAAUGCAAUAUAGUCCAUGAAGGAAUUUUAACUGUUUUGACUUCAAUAUUUCAUUUGGUCCCAUUGUGGACUAGCUUCAGUGUCUCUCUGCAUGCUGGAACUCUUAUCUAAUGAAGACAAAACUGAUAUUUUUGUUCCAAAAGCUAUAGUAUUGUUUUUCUUAAAAUUAUUCAGUUCUUUGGUAGGUAGAAAUAUCUACAUUUUUUUUCAUGAUUUCCCUCUCUUUGAGAUUCUUCCUGUGCCUGAACAUGUCCUAGCUGCUUGACCAAGAUUUAAAAUUUAUACUUCAUAGGCAUGUAGGAGCUUGUGUACAGUUCCUGUUCUAACAUUCAAUGCUGAACUUGUUACUAGUCUAUCUAUGUGGAGUCGCUGCAUCAAGUUAUUAUUCAAGAUGAAAUUUAUUUGUGCUCAUCUUAGUCUUCGCCUUAGCCUAUGGCUAUUAAACGUGAGUCAUAUCAAAAAAGAUAUAAAUCCCAUUAAUAUGAAUAUCCUAUAAUUUAAGUCUGAGUGGUGAUAACAUACUGAAGAUGGAGAUCUUCCCUGGGUAUGCUGCUUAAUCAUGAGGAUAUUUACUCAUAAUCAAUAUAUUUAUCAUCUCUGAGACUGCAACUGUCCUGCUACUAAAUUGAAAUUUUGUGAAAUCAAGAGACUAAUACAUGCAAGACCCAGUGCUUUGAAUAAAAGACAUUAAUUAAAUAAUUUAAAACUGGCUGUGGACUAUCAGGGAAUAUGCUCAACUAUCUGGGUGCUCCGGGGGAAUACUAUGUCUACUAGUUAUGAGAGAAGAGAAAGUUCUGACUUCUUUCUGGUCGAGAAGUAUUUGCUAGACUAGGGCAUAAUCUUAGUAAUAGAAAAAACAUACAACAAAAUGUGAUGAUAUGAUCUCCAUGUGGCAUUUGAAAUUUUCUGAUUGGUUCCUAGAUUAUGUAGCAUCCUAUUGAAAGAUCAUUAUGUUCUUAAUGAAAAUAAACUUGAACAAGGAGUUGAUCUUGGUGAAUUUUAAUUUUGUUUUCAGCAGUGAAAAUUAAUCCGUUAAUCCAAUGUUAUUUCUACUCAUAUGUACUAUUGUAUGUUUGCUUUUCAAAUAUCUUAUUAUGUAUUUUGACAGCCUUCCUUAUUAUUUUCUGUCUUGGAGAGUUGCAAGAUUGCUUAGAAACCUUACUGGAAUUCACUGUUAACUUUUUCUAAAGUAACUACGGCUUUUUAUUGUUUCUUCAACUAUGCAGCAUGAUUCAUGGUUUGCACAUCAAAGAUGGAAAAGCUACAUAUGUCUCACGUUAUGUUAGGACAUCACGUCUUAAACAAGAAGAGUAUUUUGGAGGAGCAAAAUUCAUGAGGGUAGGCAGUGAACUGCAUAAAUUUUUUCCUUCUUCUGGCUGGGGAAUAACAUUUUCUCUUGCCAGGCUUGCUCCUCUAUGGUUUUUGAUCAUAGAUUUGAUUCUUCAGUUAAAGUUCUUGGUGAACACUAUAUGAAUUAGAGAAGUAUCAUCCAAAUGAAAUAAGAUUUGUCUCUAUAAAUGAAAAAUAUUGGUACCUUAUAGGAGAAUUAUGCCUGUGGGGACUAAUUUCAAGGUCAAGAGGAUGUAACAAAUUAAGAUAGAGGGUGAAGUUGAAAUUGAGCAAAAAUCAUAAGAGAAGGAAAAUAUAUAGUCUAUAAUGCCAUAAGAGGAGUAAAUAUUAAUUGAUUUGCGAGAAUAUAUAAUAAUUAAUGAAUAAGAAAAGUUAGUUCUAAAUUUUAAACUUGAAAAGGAGUAGGUUAGCCUAUGGUGCAAAUGUUAUUUCUGAGAUUAUAUUAUCUUGGGUUUUUGUUUUGUUUUUUGCAGAUUGGUGAUCUUAAGGGCCUGUUUGGAUUGCUUAUGGUUAACAUGCAAAUGCUGAGAGCAAAAUUGAAAAUAUUGGAUGUUUCAUAUGGAACUGGGACAGGUAGGCUUUAAGAUCGUGAACGAUUGUGCACCUUUUGCAAGAACUCAUUCCAGUAGGAGAAGUCACCUGCUACAAUUCCAAAAGAAAGUGUCUUGUAUUAAUUUGGUUGUCAUGUAAGUAGGAAAAAGUAUUAGAGAAAAGGGUUGACUGUUUAACUUCUUCUUCCAGGUAAUACAGCUCUAGUGUAUCACCAUGGUAAGCUUUUGGCACUUUCGGAGGCUGAUAAACCUUGUAAGCUUAUAUCCUCUCUCCAUUUUCACUUUUGAAAAGCAUGCAUGUUCUCCAAAUUGACUAUUAAUCAAAAUUUUCAAUGAAGUGAAGCAUCAAGUGUUCUAUCUCCAUGUCUCAAUGAAGGGUUUUGUUUUGCCCUUUUUUUUUUUUUGGUAUCUCUGGUCAUGCCACCACAUGAUGAAAUUGUUAGGCUUUUCACUUUCUUGCAAGAGAUAAAUGAGAACUGUAAAAUUAUCAUUACCUGUGUCUAUUGUGGAACUCAAAAUUUUAUUCUGGCUCUAUGAAGAUGUCCUAAAAGUUUUGGAAGAUGGAGAUCUGCAAACCCUGGGCAUGCUGGAUUAUGAUAAGAGAUUGACCCAUUCCUUCACUGCUCAUCCAAAGGUUGACCCCUUCACUGGUAAAAGCCCAUCCUCAACAAAGAAAUUUGAUCAUGCUAUGGUGUAAAUCAACUCCUUCUGAGUAGUUAAACCCUUGCAUGCAGGUGAAAUGUUUAGCUUUGGCUAUUCACAUACACCUCCUUAUAUUACAUACAGAGUUAUCUCGAAGGAUGGUUUCAUGCAUGAGCCAGUGCCGAUAACAAUUUCAGAUCCUAUCAUGAUGCAUGAUUUUGCCAUUACCGAGAAUUAUGCAAUUUUCAUGGAUCUUCCUUUGUAUUUCAGACCAAAGGUAAGGUUAUUAUUCGAAAUUCUCACAUGGUACAGUACACCUUUGAUGUUAUGAUUGAAUUUUUCUGUAAUAAAAAAUUUCUAAAAAUUGUUAUUCUAAAUUAACAAAAAAUCAUCACAGAGAAGAUAAGAACAUUGGAAUAUGCUCAUUGAGUGUGGUUUUUCAAAAGGUGCACAAAUCUGCAUAGUUAAGACUUGUAUGAGCCAAAAUGAAACUGGGUCUGCAGUUGGCUGUAUUGAAUUGGAAUUGCUUUUGUAUAUUUGAGAUAUAUGGAAUUCAAAUUCCUUUCUGAAUCCUUUGGUUUUUGAAGACCUUCAUUCCGUUCUUAGGCCUCAAUUCAUUCAAACAAACAGGGGUUUGUUGUAGUCAAGGUAUACAGUGUGAACAGUGACUUGCUACACUUGUGUGAGUACUUGCUAGGGCAAUGUUGUAUAUUUAUGCUACAAUAGUACCAAUGCUGCCUGCAUUAAACAUAAAAAAAGUGUAAAUAAAUAAAAUUCAACUAAGGAACCAAAAUAAACUUCUGAGCACAUUUAUGUGGCUAGGAAAUCAGGGCUAGCAUGUCUGACCUGAGAUGAAUAUGGAACUGAAGUGUUAAAAUAUGUGUCCAGUUACUCCAGUUAUCUGAAGCUGGUGGAGAGGAGUGGGGGCUGCCCCUAAAUGUUACCCAUGCAAACUCAGAGGGCUUGUUUGUGCUUGUGAACUAAUGCACGUCUCUGAAAAUUCAACUAAAUUUCCUUUGCUUUUCCCAAUACCAAGUGGUUUUAGGUAAGAUGAUGGGGGUUUGGGGGGCAUCAGACCCAUGGUUACCCAUAGGAAAGACAAUAAUGCAAAAUCUGGAAGUAUCCUUACUAAUAGGCAGUGAAGCCCAAAGUUCAAAUCCUUGUGUAUCAAGUCUAGUUUUUGAGUUGGAGUUCAUAAACUCUUGCAGUAAUUUCCAAUCUUAAUUGAAAUUGUAUAGUGUCAAAAGUUUAAUCAAUAAUUGUAGUUUAAACUAGUGAGAUGUUGGCAUGGAUGAUUUGCUUAUGAAGAUCAAUGUGUUGCUUUUUGUAAAAAGAAAGGCUAGCGGUGGCAUUCUAUAAUAAGCAUAAUGGUUACUGUUAUGCUCUGAUUUCUGACUUCAAUCUGAUGCAUCAAACUGAUUGCAUCUCAUUCAGCUUGAUUAAUUC